This 86414-nucleotide long non-coding RNA is filed under the name Gossypium barbadense (sea-island cotton). RNAcentral's name for it is "long non-coding RNA (GBAR_LNC019531)". The stretch from base 65700 to 65786 matches the Rfam family "MIR7486 microRNA precursor family". The record is from RNAcentral. Lineage: Eukaryota; Viridiplantae; Streptophyta; Magnoliopsida; Malvales; Malvaceae.
CUUUCCCUUGUUCUGAAUCACAAGAAAUAGAUUGGGAGAAUCUGGAAUAUUGCAAACCAAAGUUAAAAAGGCCAAAUAUUGUCUAAUGUGAUCAUAAUGACAAUUCAUACUCUUUGCUAUUGUUGGAAACUUGCAACCAUUUAUAGUUAGAGGAUACUUACCAUUUCCUGGAACUCGCAAACAGGCAGCAAACCUUUUAUUCGUAUCCGUACACAUAUUAGAUGAGUUGCAUUCUUCAACUUGAAAACCAUCAUUACUUGUUAGUGAAGGCGGCGGCGGCGGUGGUUCGACUGAGUCCUGUAUAAUGCCAUUCUCUUCAUUCACUUUCUUGGGGUCCACGCUAUCACCCGGAGUUUCCUUUUGCUCACCAUCUGUCAUCCCCUCGUCUUCAAUAUCCAAUUGUUCCUGGCCCUUGUGCGUAUAAUCACCUUCUUUCCCACCAUCAGUCUUUCCUUUUGCUUCAGCAUUCGAUGCUUUCUCGCCCUUUUCCAAAUUCUCGCCUUCAUUCAAACCCGAUUGCUGGUUCAGAUCGAUCUUACUUGCACCAUCAACAUCCCCUUUUGAUCCAUCAAUUUCAUUGCCACCGUCAACUUCCCCACCAUCUGUCUUUCCUUUUGCUUUAGCACUCGAUGCUUUCCCACCUUUAUCCAAAUUGUCGCCUUCAUUUUUACCUGAUUGCUGGUUCAAAUCACUCUUACUUGUACCACUGUCAACACUUUCUUCUGAUCCAUCAACUUCCCCAACAUCAUUCAUCUUUCCUUUUGCCUCCUCACUCGAUGCUUUCCCACUUUUAUCCAAAUUCCCACCUUCAUUUGAACCUGAUUGUUGGUUCAAACCACUCUUACUUGCACCACUAUCAACACCCUUUUCUGAUCCAUCAUUUUGAUUACCACCAUUAUCUAUCACUUCACCAACUCCAAUGGAAUCCGAAGUAGAUUUAGAAUGAACUUCUAUAACUGGAUCUACUUUGCCACCUACAUUUUGAUCGAAACCACUCUUUCCAUUAACAUUCCCCUAAAACCAAACAUCAAUGAGAAACCGUCUUAAUCCCAUCAUCGAAAUAACCAAUUCAAUAAACAUCUAUCAAAUUUUUAAAAAAAGAAAACCUCACCUCUGUAUCAUUACCUGAGCAACCGACAACAACUAGCAGCAGAAAAAUUCCCACCAAAACAACAUAAUUCGUUUCCAUAUUUUAAGAUACAACCACCUUUUAGUGCUACCAAAAACAACCUAUUUAACAUAGAAUUCAUUUAAAUACAUACAUAUAAAAUUUCACUUGGAAAGAGUUAUAUAAAACAAGGAGGAGGUUUCCAACCUUUAAAUGAAACCUUGUUGGGAUGCCUGUUUUCAACAGCUUUACACUUCAUUACUAAGUUUAUUUCCUCAUCCAAAUUAAAAGGCUUACACAUUGAUCGAAUAGAGAGCUUUUGAAUGAGUUUAAUAGUAGAAGAGAAAGAGGGUGAGUUUGACCAGAGAAUUAAAAAACGCCAUCUUUUUUGGUUCUGAGAUGCAAAUCGUUGUCUUUCUGACAAUUUGUAAUGCAACGUUAAUUCCUUAUUAGCAUAUGUCUUGUUCCGGGAAGGCGGUUUCUGUCGUCAAUUUCGAUAAAAAAAGCUUGCUAAAUGUCUAUCACCAAAUACAAAAUGUUCGACGAAAACUAAGUAAUCUAAUAAAUAUUUAAUUUAGAUGACUGUAUCUGCACGGAUAUGUUGACAUCAAAUAUACUAUUAUAUGUUUCGAGAUAGGAAAGUUAAUUUAAUGUUACAGGCCUGGUUUUUUGUGACAAUGACCCAAAUUUUGUAACCAAGUAAGCUCGUCGGCUAGUCUUAUCCGAAACUUUCUAAAUACCAUUGGUGGCCAAUUGCAAUCGACCUAAUACUGGAAGCAAGCCAUUAAUGUUGACUUCUUCCGCUGAGUGAAUGAUGCUUCCAAAAUACUGGUAGAGCUAUUCACCAGCCUUGCCUAGCGAAUUCGCUUUUGCCAGCUAGUUCAAGUGAUACUGUGUACCUCAAAAAUAAUUUUCAAAUCUUAUCAAAGACGAGACUGAAAUCGCUUUUUGAAGAGUGGUCGUACGUUCACCUCAAAACCCUCCCUAACAAUAAUAUUGAUUUCUCAAUCAACAAUUAUUUUUAUAUUGCACUCUUCAUAAAUUUAGAUUUUAAUCUAUAUACUUCUAUUUCUAACAAUUUAAUUUAAUCCCUUUACUCAACCAAAAUACAAAAUAUUCCACGAAAACCAGGUAAUCUAAUAAAUAUUCUAUUUAGACUAUAUUUGCUCGGAGAUGUUGACAUCAAACAUACUGAGUAUAUUCCGACGUUGGACUUUGUUGAUCUGAAAGUGAAACUCAAUCUUUUAAGAUGCUCGAAAUUCAAGCAGGUUUAGCAGUAUUGAAAAGUUUAAUUCUUUAAUUUAUGAUUUAAUCCUUCAAAUAUAUAUAUUUACUUAAGUGCUUCAAGUAUGCCUCUGUUAUAGCACCACACGACUUUCUAUUGCAAAAAAAUAUAUCUGGAAGUAAUUUUCUGUCGUUAGCUUUGAUGAGAAAAAGCUUGAACUGUUGCUAAAUGUUUAUCACCAAAUUACAAAAUGUUGGAUGAAAAGAUGGAAUACAGUCGCAUUAGGUGGGGCCCACCGAUUAGGGGUGUAUUGGCUAUGCCAAUACACCAAACCAAACAUGCUCUUAAUUUAGAUGAGUGUACGCGUAGGGAGAUGUUCAAAUCAAACCUACUAUAUUUUGACGUUGGAUUUUGUUCUCUUAAAAAAAUCUUAAUAUUUUAAGAAGCUCAACAACAGUGGAUUGGACCUGGACCCAAACUUUAUAAGCAGGGAACCUAGUGGGCUAUGUUGUAGAUGAAUGAAACUUCGCAAAUGACAUGAAGUGGGGCACGAAUGGGAUCCUCUGAGUGAUUUGUGUUUGACCAAGCCAAGUAAAUUUUAUACGCAACUGUAUCCGAUCAAAGCUCUGAUCAGUUGCUUUCCGCCAACCUGGUCCAUGUGCCAUGCAACCCCACCCCUAAAGAAAAAACCCUAUACUAGGACGUAAACAGAUAUCUUGUAAAUUACUCGAUUGGGUUUCUAACACCAUCUAUAAUAUUGGUAAAAGAAUUUUUUUAAAAAAAAAUUAUUGGAUAAUGAAUAUAAGUGAAAUGAUAAGGAAUUUGUAUUUUAAUAUUAUAGAAUAUGUGCUCAAUCAUUAGAUUUAUAAUUAAGGGGUGAAAUUAAAAAUUCUUUGAGGAGAUCGGAACUAAAUUAUAAAAUUUUAAAGAGAUUCAAAUAUAAUUUUACCAUGUAUUAAUUUAUAAUCUAUUAUUUUUUAAUGGAUCAAAUAAAAUUUUUUCAUAUUUAAGGGGGAAAAUGUAAUUUUUACCAUAUAUUAAUUUACAAUUUUAUUAUUUUUAGAAAGAAUAAACUAAAAUUUUACAUUUUUAGGGGUAAGGCCCAUGCUAGCCCCCAAUCUUCACCUCUAAUACCAACUCAGUAAAGUGCUUAAAUAUAGUAAGAAUAAUUACAGACCAAUAUACAACAAAUUAUGGCUUCUAGAUCUACCCUCAAAAAUUAAGAUUAUGAUAUAGAAAUCUAUACAUAACUAUUUACAACUCUAGUUAAUCUUUAUGAGCAAAAGUUGGUGGGCUCAGCAAACUGUCCAAGAUGCCAGGGAGGGGCAGAGAGGCUGGAGCAUGUUUUUAGAGACUGCUAUGCUGCAUCAGAAAUAUGGGCAAAUCUAUAGAUUGAAUGGCCACAAGAGCAGAGUCAUGCAGAGUUUAAGGAUUGGAUGAUGUUUCUUUUUAAUAGUUUUCUGGAAUCGUCGGUCUGCUGCAGAACUUGGAAAAUGAAAAAGAGUGGAAAAUGUGAAAGAAGAGGACCGAGGCUGACUGCUGAUUUUAGUUUUAGGGGAUUUUAGGAUAAUUAUUAGUAUUAAGUUAGGACGCGUGGGCUAUAAUCUGAUUAGGUUUUGCGCUUGUAUACAAUAUUUUCUUCGAUAUUUUCUCAUGGGUUAAAUUAGUAUAGCUUAAAAGUUAAAUAAUUUUUGGGCUCAAUUAGAAAGGAAACAAUAAAAUUGAUAUUUCUAGCCCCAUUAAAAGGAAAAAUAAAAAAUCAUCAUAUGCAUUUACCUCCCGCUUUCUCUACGAUAAUCAUAAUGAAAAAAAAUUACCUUUAUAACUAUUUUCUUGAUAAGAAAAGUAAAAAAAAGUAAUUGAUAACCAGCAAUUAAAGUGAAAUUAUCAUAAAAGAAACUAAAUAUAUAGACACAAACAUAAAACAUUUGUUUUUCUAGUAUAAUCAAAGUAGUUUCAUUUCUAUUUUACUGAUUUAUAAAAAUUAAAAUUUUCAAAAAUUUACGAUUUUUUCUCUUUAAUAAUAUCGUCUAAAAAUAUAACUAUUAUAAAAUGAUUGUCUUUUUAAAAAAAUAUUGUUUACAUUCGUUUUAUAGUCUAUAUAUUAUCUCUCUUAAUAAUAUCAUUUCUAAAAUAAAAAGAUUGUAUUUAAUCACUAUAAAAUUAAUUGCUAAAAUAUAUAACUAUUAGAACCAUGAAAAAUUAAUAUAAAUUAUUAAAAUCUGUCAUAUUAAAUGUAAAAAUAUACCCAAAUUCAUUAAUAUGUCAUCUUCCAAAUUAGAGCUAUGCAUGGCAACGAAACACCUUAGCUUGGCGGUGCACGUGGCCCACAUACUCGGUACAUAUUUCAUCUUUAUUUUUUAAUUUCAAAACCAAUCAGUUAAAUGCCUAAAUCUAGCUAGCUUUCUUCAAAACCCUAAAAGAAUGGCUCAGUCAUAUAAUUAGUCCUUUUCAUAGAUGGAGAGACCAAACAGAUUUGUCAAACCGCCCUAUCCAUACAAUCAAUGAAUCUAAUAUAUUUCCUAUGACACCAAAAUGAAUUAAAAAUACUAUGAUAUAUUGAUGUAUUAUAUCAAAGUUUAUGUCGUAUAUUUAAUUAAAUGAGUGUUAUAAGAAAGAACAGACCGGAUCAAGACAGGCCAUUGAAGGAGAGAGGACCGGCAAAGGUCGCCCCUUUUAUCCAUUAUGUUUGGACCUUCUGCUCUCCAACGCUACGUUUGACUCUGUCUUGUGACUCUUGCCUGCCUUAAGCACCUUUGUUGGCUCACCAUUAUUAUUAUGUCUAAUAUGCCAUUUAUAGUUCACAUUUGACAUAGGUAGAGGCAGUUACCAAAAACAUCAAAAUUUAAAUACUAUAAAUAUGGUGUUAAAAAAUAGUAAUUAAUUUAUCCAUCCAAUUAUUUGGGAUACUUAUUUUUUCUUUGUGAUAACAAAAAAUGGAAUAAUAAACUAAAAGGAAAAAACGGGAACUAAAGGCAUAAGCAUACUGUCCAACCUUAACUGGAGACUGACUAAAUAGAGAGUCCUAUGAAAAAUUUGGACGCCAAUUGGGUAGAACUUCAUCAAACCAGCUAACGAGUGAGCGGUAAAAUUCACUUUCCUUGAGAUUUGGUUGAAAACUACAUUCCAAUCUCAGCGACAUAAGAUACUUAUUUGACUAAUAGAUUUGAUAAGUUAUUUUAUUAUAGGCACGAAAUUAAAUCACGUUUAAAGAAAAUUACUCUUUCGAAGAUACGAAUUUGAUUGGGUUUUAAGACGAAUAAUUCUUAACCAUUAAACUAAUCACGAAAGAGAUUAAUUUAAUUUUUGAAUUAUUAAAAAAAUGAAAUAAGACUAAUUAAAAUGUUUAACGAAAAAUACAUUAAACUACUAAUAUUGAUGGAAAACAUACGUGUCUUAAUAAAAUACAUUCAAUAUUUUAAAAUAAAUCCAAAUAAUAUAUAUACACACAAGUCUAAGUUGUGUCAAAAUGGCGGUGCUCAUGUUUUGCAAAAGGCAGGGAAAUGAGUUGGGUUUUCACAUCUAAACCACUAUUUUCAUGGAUUUAAGAUUAAAACUUUCAUAUGAACUCGCUGUAAAGCUCAUAUCUAUGUCAAACAUAUUCAACAUGUUUUCAACUUAUGAAAUAAUGGGCAAUAAUCCAACGAUUUCUAUAACACAAUAGAUAAGGUUUUUAUGUGUAUCUUUUGAGUCAUGACUUGAAGAAAGUCUUUCACUAUUUCAAAUUAACUUGGACUACUAUUUUAUGAUAAAAAUAUUUUAUUUUAUUUACGAAAAUUUAUAUUUGGAUUUUUAAUACUUUUUAGAUAAUAUCAAAAAUAAACGAAAACAUAUCACGUUAGUUUUUUAACCUCUGAGCCAUCUCUGGCUUAUAGUGAGAAAACGCAUUCACUGCGAUAGUGAUACACACGAUCUAUUUCUCUAUUUCGUCAUUUUUAUUUAUUCAGCUCAUUGGUUCAAAUGCAAACCUCGAGGGUUGUACCGAGCUAACAGAGGGGUCGAUUGGACAUAUAUAUAAUUAGGGCUCAAAUAAUUUGUAAUUAAGUUUCGAUUUUUUGUAUAUUAAUUACAACAUUACUUAGUCAUGAAGUCAUUCUACUAAAGUGCCAUGACUAAGCUCUCCCUAUUAUAUACCAUUAUGAAAGCAACAUAUCAAGUGUCUGUCCAACGACCUUAUCAUAUAUGUUACCUUCAUAAGAUAUCUUUAGUCUAUUUGGGUUAAAUCUAUUCACCCAAUAUAAUCCUAUUUUAUCUCAUAAUAACUAUUACAUAUUCUUUCAUGAAAAAAUAAAUUACUAACAUAUAGUAAUUAGAUAAUUUGUCUCAAACAAUUGACCAGUGGUCAUGUUACUUUUAUUUCUAUCAUCCAAUGAGAGGAUAUCAUUUACCCUUUAAUGGGCUAUGGACUCCACUAUCGUAAAUAAAGCUAUGUUAUGCUGAAGUAGUAUAUCCAACGUACCAGCUUUCGACUUUAUUACCAAUUAAAAUCAGACUUUCAAUACUUCAAAUUGUACGAGUCACAUAUACAUAGUCCGUCACUUAAUCAAAUUUGAGGCAAGCCACACUAUGACCAUCACAAGUGAAUAAAUUCAUUAAUAGAUCUAGGAUUUAUUCUACUUCGGUCUUGUCCGAUGUAUUGUUAGUCUAUACCAUCGCAUCUUUGUCUUUAUCUUCUAGGAGUUAUUUGUUCUAAUACCUAAGAUAAGGUAUCCCCUAAUUUGACUUGAUAAGCAUCACAAUAGUCAUUGAAUCAAUUUACUCAAUUUCUACUCAUUAGACUAUGGAUCAUUUAGAUUACCUCCUAUAUAAGUUGUCUUCUCUCAUUAUAAUCGAAUUACAUAAUGCAACUUAAUAUAGUUAAACGUUAGACAAUCAGUUAGUUAAUAUUUCUUUAUACAUUUUUGCUUUACGUACAAAAACUAUUGAGGACAAAUACAAACGAUAUUAAUGUGAAUGAUAGAAAUUUUAUUAAACCAAUCUAUUUGAAAAAUUACAAGGGUAUAUGAUGAAAAACUACUCUAAAGGUACUAGAUCCCAACACCACUAGCACCUUGGGAAUUAACAUCAAUGUCAUUAGGAAAGCUACAUGGCUAUUAAACUGAUUCCAUCUUCUUUGUAUGCAGUUUUAUUUCUCAGAGAAAAACUACAUGAGGAACUUUAACCUCUAACGAAUGCCAAAGUCUUUGAAUUGCACCUAGGCUUCCAAUUCCACGGGGAUUCCAACUUAACGUGCUCGUGGAUUCAAUAUGACAAAAUCUAGAAGCAACAUCAUUCUCGGAAACUUUAGCGUCCAGUUCACCAAUUUUCAUUAUGCAAUAUCAACAUCCUCUACAACACCAUCUCUUUUACUUACUGAUAAUUAAACAACCCAGAAGAACUAGUUGUCUUAUAGAUCUCGCUUGUCUCUUCUAAGUCCUUGUACCCUUUUUGUGAACCAAAAAAUUCUUGGAAACUUCUUUGGAACUAGUCUCUACAAUGACACCUGAAACCUAUGCUAAAAAAUUAGAAGUAAUGCAAUGUUCCAAUUGAGAUGCACCCACUAUAAACUCUCUUAUUGGAAUUUUAGCAAAAUCAACAAGGAUAAAUAUGAUAAUUUAACCACAAAAUCCUUAACUAGAACUUUAGAAAAUAUCGAUUAAGAUCUAACGUAAAUUUUUAUCAAUCAAAAUCACUAGAAAACAAAACCAUCUUGUUCAAUCUUGUUGACCAAUCUACCCACCUUAGGAUUAUCCCCCAUGGGUGCAACAUCCAAAUACAGUUCUUUCACAACCUCACUUGCAAUAUCCGAUUUAGAAAAAGAUCUAACAUCAUCUAUCAUAUUAGAAAAUUCAACACCCUAAGAAUUAGCAUUCUCCAUCGCGUCUCGUAGGCAUCAUCAAAAUUAAGACAUUGACUAUUAGGGUGAACACAUUCAACAUCACUAACUAUGGUCAAGUAAACCAGAAACAUGAAAAAAAAUUGUAGGAAGUCUCUCACAUUUUACUUGACGACAUUGAACAAUCCUUCCUUGAGCUCCCUUCAACAAAAUAUAGUACAACAAGGCCUAUAAACAUCAAUCUCUAAUAUGAUAUAAAUAAAUUUUCCUCAGAGCAUAUAGUCCAACAGUAAAACUAUAUGAUUACUGAUACAUUUAGCCGUAUAUUAAUUUAUCAUAUUGAAAAGCAAAUCAUAAACACAAAUACAAAAUGAUGCUUUAUUAAAAAUAUAAUCGAAAGCUAAAUAUCACCACCAUAAUCUUUGAUGUUUGCACUUCUAUAUUGAUUAGGUUGGUUUAUUCUUUAAAUGUAUUUGAUUCAAAAUUUUAAAAUCGAAGCUUUUUUAAUAACUAAAGUUUUCAAAACUAGACUAGUGGUCGAAUUAGUCAGAUUAUUAAUUUGUCAAUUCAAUUGGUUCGAUAAAUUUAUCUAGUUCAAUUAAACAAAUUGUUAAAAAACUCAUAAAAAUAAAAAAAAAUUAAAAAUCUAAUUCAACCUAUUUUGACUCAAUUUAACUUGUCCGUAGUAAUUCAAAUUCUUUUUGUCUUAAUAAUUCAAUCGAUUCUAGAUUUGACCGGUUUGACCCGAUUUUAAUAACAAUUAUAAAAGGAAAUGAGAAAAAGGAUUUUGUCAUCGUGACAUCAAUUGUUAGUGAAAUGACGUAGAGUAUUAUUAUUCUAUUUUUUAUCAGAGUAAACCGACGUCGUAUUUAGCCGCAGUUGCGUGGCCGAGUAAAAUCUUCGGCGGGGAAUGAAAUGAAAUCACGAGAACUCCAAAUUUCUCUCCUUUAGGAGGCGAUGACUGAAUGAAAAACCUACACGUGGUAACGUGCCGGGGCCCAGGGAACUGGACCACCGGCUUAAUGUCGGCGUCGCCUUUGGAACAAGUCCAUGCAUUGCAUAUCAUAUACUGCCAAAACCCAACUUUUGUUAGUCUCCCUCAUUUAUUAUUUCCUAACUAUACAUAAUAAUUACCCCUUUUUUAGCUGUCUUUAGGUACAACGAGUAUUUCUUUUCAAAAUUACUUCAGUACCCUUUUUCUAAAAUAUUAUCUCACUAUUUUUAAUUCCUAAUUUGAACUCUUUUUUUUCUAGAAUUAAAUAGUAUAUUUUUAUUAUUUUAAUAGUUUAUAUUUUUUAUAAUUUUAAAAAAGUUAAAUUAAAUUAUUAUUAUUUUUUGAAAAUUAAACUAAAUAUAUAUUAUUACUAAUUUAAAAUUUUAUAAAUUAUAAAUAGCAUAAAUAAAAAAUAAAAUUUUAAGGAAGGUGAAGCCCUUGCUAGCCCCAUUUGGCUUCGCUACCUGAAUCAUGCGAUGUGAUCUAUUAUAAAAUACAAAUAUAAUUUAAGGUAUGGUCUUAAGAUUUACCCAUAUAAUUACUAAAAUAAAAGCUAAUAAUAAUAUUAAUAUUUGAAGUAUUGGUUCAUACGAACAUAGCCAUAAAUUCAGUAUAAAAAAAGUCAUUAAUUUCAAGUUUUGGUUGAAAUUAAAUUUAAUAUUUUUUGAAAAAAAUAAAGCAAAUGGGAGAGAGAAUAGAAGGAAGAUAUGGGGAGUGCUAUAGGAUUGAGUUGUGAGUGUGAAGGGAUAAUUAGGUUUUGGUCACAUGCAAAUACGUCAAAUAGUCCCAAUGGUAUCCAUAUAUAUGUGGGCAUUGGAGGGCCGUCUUUCACGAGCUUUGUUGUUGAUAAGAACCUUUACGAUUUUAAUGCUCCACAUCAACCCGGGAUCCCACUUUUGAUGAUGCUGAUGCCUACCUUUCUAGUCUCAUGAAAUUUUCCUCAUCAUGUUUGGAUAUGGUCUUGUUUAAUGAGUUAUUAAUAUUUAUAUUUAUAAAUAAAGUCUUUUUAUCAUUACAACAACAACAAUAAAAAUCAAAUUAAAAUUAAAAUUUAAUCCAUCAUUGAAAUUUAUGUUUUAAAUUUAUAACAUCAACAAAAUAUGGGAAAGUUUUUAAAACGUAGUUUAGAGUUUUAUCAGUGUUUAGCAAAGAUAAUAUGUAUUGUAGGUGUACUCUAUUGGGAAGUUCAUAGAAUGGAACUGUGAGGCCGAAAAAUCUGACGCAGAGAGAGAGAGAGAGCGCAGUAAUGGCAUUUGGAUUUUGUGCUGAAGAAGAAAUUUAAUAUAAAUAAAUAAAGAUAAAAAGGAAGAGAGAGAAAAACAUAAAAUUGUGGCAGAGAAAGGAGGAGCUGACUCUGUUUUUGUAAUAAACUCAAAAAGUAGGUUUUUAGGGGCAGUGAAAAGUACGGUCACGUGCUGGGACCCACGCGUAAAGUCAAAUUUCAGAUUUUUUUUUCUCUAUCCAUCAGAUAUGUCGCAAACGCAGUAUGACCCUUUCAACCUUCUUUUAUCUGUUCUCUCAUGUUUGAUGUUCUAAAGUUAAAGUAAAAUAUUAAAUAAGGGAAAUUAUUAAUUUCCAUAAAUAAAUAUUAAAAAUAAAUAUUUAUAAUAUUAUAAAUAGAAGAGAAAUUCACAUACAAUAUAAUAUUAUAUUAUAUUAUAGAAUUUUACGUAAAUUAAAAUUUUUUAAUUAUCAAAAUUUAUGUAAAAAAUUUACAAUGAUUGAAUAAAUGCACAUAGAAAGAAACAUUUAAUUAUGACAAAGGGUGUGGGUUUCGCGGGACCUCGCCCCACUUCACACCUAAUUGAGCAAGGAUGAGUACAGGUUUCGCAGGUGGUGGGAUAGGGAUGGAGAUAAAAAUUAGACCAGUCAUUGGUAGUAGGGCAGGCAAGAGUAUGACAUUUUACCGACCUCACAUAAUAUAAUAAGCAAAAUUAAAAUGUAAAUAUUUAUAAAAAUUUAAUUUUAAUAAUAGUACUGAAUGUAUUCCAUACUUUUUUUUAUAAAAAAUAAUUUAUAUUUAUUUACUAAUAUUUAUAAAUAUAUUAUAUGAAGUGAGUCGAGCAUAACGGAGAUUAAGUGGGUUUGGAACUAUUGUGAGUGGUGAGACAGAGAUGGUUUUGAAUUUGGUCGCGAGGCAAGGAUGGGAUAAAGCUCCUCGUACCCACCCCGCCCAAUUCACAUCCAGACCAAUAAUACCAAGAAAUCAGAUAAUGCAUUUAAUAUGUAUUUUAGUAUUAGUUUUAUGCAUUGGUAAGUCAAAGAAAAAAAAAUGAUAUUGCAUUAAAUAUAUAUUAUUAUUAGUUGGAGCUGGACUCACUGUGCGGCUAUAAAUACACCAAAGCUUGAGCCAGAGACAGCUCUCAACACAGUUAAAUUCUAAUCUCUUCCUUUGAAACCCCCAAAAUAAAUUGUUUUUCUUCAUUUCCACUCCAAAAAUCUGGGUUUUUCUUUUCUCACAUAGCAUUUGCCCCUUGGCUUUAAAGUUGAACCCAACAUUUCUUCAUCGUUAAGCUAUCCAUAUUACCUUUGGUCUCUGUUUCAAACAAAGAAUCAUACCUUUCUUUCCAAGUUGGAAUCUAUUUUGAGGAACUUUUUUUUUUAAAGGUUCCUCUGUUUUUCCUUAAUCCAUUUUUAUAUUGCCUUUUGGUUUUUGUUUUUAAAAGGAAAAAAGGGGCAGUUUUUAAAGUCCUGUUUCCUGUCUGAAUCUUCCCUCCCGCACUCUGUUUUCAAAAAAAAAAUGCAAGAAAUCUAUCAUCCUUUUGGAUUCAACAAUGGCGUUGAUAUUGGAUCUUCGUUAUCACAAAUCAUACUAUCAGGAGGCUAUAAUACUUUAGAUUCAGUGUUCUCUCAUUGCGCAUCACUACCAACAGCCAUUGCCACCAACUCUGUUUACGAGCCAUUAGGUUCAUCAGUCUAUCUCCGCCAGAGGGAUCUCCUUCAAAAAUUCUGCCAUGAAAACAAAGGGAACCCUUCAUUUUCAGGAAAAUCCGUAAAGGGUCUUCUUCAAAACUACCCAAAUCCUCCAUCGACGACCAAUUACUUGAGCCCACCUCGAAAGAAGAAGCUUUACAGGGGCGUGAGGCAAAGGCAAUGGGGCAAAUGGGUGGCUGAAAUCAGACUCCCGCAAAACAGAGUCCGAGUCUGGUUAGGCACUUACGACACAGCUGAAACCGCCGCUUAUGCCUAUGAUAGAGCCGCGUAUAAACUUAGAGGCGAAUACGCGAGGUUGAAUUUCCCGAAUACCAAAGAUCCAAGUGAGUUGGGGUUUGCAGAUUGUGCUAAAAUGAAUGCUUUAAAGAACACAGUGGAUGCUAAGAUUCAAGCCAUUUGUCAAAAGGUGAAAAGAGGGAAAGCUAGAAAGAAAGCCAAAAGAUCACCUGAAGCUGAAAAGCAAGCGAAAGUUCCAGAGCCAUGUUCAUCGUCUUCGUUGUUAUCGCCGGCGGUUUUUAGCGAAAAUUUAAGCAACGAAUGGCCGUCGCCAUCGGUGUCCGAAGAUGGGUUUUGGAGAUGUGGGAAUUCGCCGUCCUCUGUUUUGAAUGACUAUCCGUCGAUGAUUACAGAGGAACCCAUGUUUGAAGACUGUUCGCUUGCAAGAAUGCCGUCUUUUGAUGCUGAUUUGUUAUGGGAGAUUCUUGCUAAUUAGGAUAAUAAUUAUGUUUCAUUUUUUUCCUCAAAAAAUCAAAUAUCUUCAGCAGAUAGCUGUUGUUUUUUGUUAGGUACUUACUUCUAACAAUGGUGUCAUGCUGUUUAUGUGGUCUGGUUUAGGGUUUUAGUUUUUAGUCUUCUCUUUUUCCUUCCUUUCGAUUUUGAGGUAUUUUCUGAGUUUGGAUUUUGUUUUUCUUCUCCAUGAAACAUAUUAAUAGUUAACCAUGUUUCAUGAGCUUCUAUUACAUUAAAAAAAUGUUACCCAAUUAUUAUAAUUUUAUAAUAUUUUGUAUAAUUAAAUAAUUACAUAAACUAUAAUUCAAUUAUAUAAAAUAUUACCAUUUUUGGGAAUAUUUUAUAAAAAUACAUAAAACAUUAUCUAAUUAUACAUAAAAUUUACAUUAAAAAUCAGUUAUUGUUUAGUACGGUCGUGGACACCACUAGUAUUGAUGUUCCAUUUGGAUUUUACCGUAUCAGUGCACAAGUUUUUUUUUUUUUUCUUUUCUAAAAAUUUCACCAUUACAAAGUUAAUACAAUUACACGUAUAAGAUAUUUAUAGAUACAAAUAUAUGUUUGUGUUGAAUUAUAAUUGAUACAAUGCAAAGCUAAUCCAAAAUCAAACAAAAACUGAACUAAUAUGUAAGGAAGGGAAUAAAAUUCACACAAAACUGAACUAUAUACCAUUAUUACAAAUGGUGGAUCUCGAACUCAAAACUUUUAUGGACUUGACCACCGUCUAGUUCUCUUGGUUAAACACAUUAAUAAUCUCCAUCAAAACAAAAUGCCAACAGAAAAUGAGUAUCGGAUUCGACAGAGUUGCCUGAAAACACAAAAGAUCAAGUUAGAGCCUGCGGUUAAAUAUUCUUCUUCAUCUUUUUUAUGAUUCUAUGUAUGAAGUAGGAAAUAUGCUCCGAAACCACAUUUUUGCUAAUAAACUGUUUUCACUGCAAAUUUAUCUUUACAGGCAAACAAGUUUUUAUGAAACACAAGCUGACUAAACAUUACCUGAGAAUGUUUAUUAAGAAAAAAACAAUGAAAUAAUGAAAAAUAAUCCAUAAAUGCAAAACCCCGAUGAACAUAAUCGAAUUAUAAAUAACAGGGAAUUCCUCUAGGCUGCCCUCUGGACUCUGACACUUUUCGAGAUUAUUUCCUUUAGAUCAUCGCAGCGGCUGCGGUGAUAAUCGAUCCACAAGCACAGCUGCCUAAUGGCUUCUCUCUUCUCCUCUCCUAGUCCGUGUAUGCCUUGAUCUUUCUCUUUCAUUGCUGUCUCCAAGACUUUCAUCUUCUUCUCCAGCUGAUUCAUAGCUUUUAGCAGAUUCUCCUUCUCCACUUCUUCCUUGUUUGCCUUAAUCCGUAGCUUCUCCACUUGCUCUCGCAGAGUAGAUUCUUGUUCUUUCUGAUAGUUCAGCUGCUCAAUCAAGUUUGUCACUUCAUUUCUUAGUCGCUUCUUUUCGCUUUUUGUCUCUUCGGCCCAAUGUUUUGCAAUCCUUAGCUCUUUCGAUGUUUCUUCAAUGCAUUCCUUGUAGCUUCUACACUUCUCUUCAAAUUUCUGGAUGACUGCUUCAAAUCCAGUCAAGGUAAUAUUCACAUUCUCGGAGAUAUCAGUGAUCAUCUUGCAAUAGGCUUCGUUGUUGGCAGCAAUUAUUCCAGAUAAUGCUGAGAUCCUUUCUUCAAGCAGUCUUUGUUCUUCCAGGUACUUUGCUUCUGCUUUUCUGUAGCUUUCUUCGUUCUUAGUUAGUAACUGUUCUGUGACUCUAAGUUUUUGGUUUGACAACCGGAGCUUAACUUCAAUUGUUCGGACAUUCUCAACCAAAGUACUGAGUUCAUCUCCUUUAAUUUCUAUAUCUCUUUUCAAGUCUUCAAUAGUUUCCUCCAACCCAGCAACAAUUUCAUCCUUAGAUUGAAUGUUCGUAUUGUGCUCUCCUGCCAUUUCUUGCAUCUUCCAUUCUGUGAUUUCGAUAAUUGCCUUGCACUCCUGAAAUGAAGUUUCAAGUUGUUUGUAUUCAUUGCUUAGCUUGUUAAAUGCAUCUUCUUGUUCUUUUAGCAUUCUCUGAUGAUCCGUGAUCUGGUUUACGAGGUCAUUUUUCUCAUCUACCUUUGCUUCCAAAUCUCUUUGAAGGUGCUCAACCAUUUGCUUCAGAUCAGCUGCUAUCUGACUUUUAGAUUCAAGGUUUGUACAGAAUUCUUCAGACAUUUCUUCUGUCUUCCUUUCAGCAAUUUCAAGACUUGCCUUGCACUCUUGGUAUAAGCCUUCAACCUCUUUGUAUUCCUCGCCCAACUUCUUAUAUGCCUCCCCCUGUUCUGUUAGCAUUCUCUGCUGAUUGCUAAUUUGGCUUUCUAGUUCGGAUUUCUCGUGCUCAAACUCAGCUUUCACUCUCUCAAGCUGCAACUCCAGUUCAUUUCUCUGGGUCUGUAUUGAAUCCAACUGCUGCUGCAAAUCGUUGACCUGUGCCACUAGGGCUGUUAAUUGGGAGGAAGUUUCAUUCUCCAAGCUGGCAUGCUUUUCCUGGAGAGCAUUGAACUCGAGCCCUCUUUCUGCCAACGUUCUCUCUAAUUCAAUGGUUUGACCCUGUAAACUCACUAUUUCCUCCCUCAAUUGACCAUUCUCUUUGAUUUUAGUUCUCAAGUCCUCUUCCAGUUCACCUUUCUGGUUCUUUAGAGAAAUGACCUCCAAUUCUAGUUCCUUCAUUUGUGCCAACAAACCCUCUUUCUCCUGUAGAACUCUCUGUUGAUCCUCAGUCUUGCUUACUAUCUCUUCUUUUGCCUUUUCUAUCUCAAUCAUAUGAUCUGAAAUAGCUUGAGUUUUUCUCUCAAGCUGAACUUCAAGUUCAGCUUUCUGGCUAUGCAUGGAUUCCAGUUUCUGCUGCAAUGUAUUUAUUUCAUCCAUCAAGCUCUUGACUUGGUUCGAUGCUUCAUCGCCUUUAACUACAAUAUGUUCUUCCAACUGAGCUUUCUCAGUCCGCAGCGACUCCAUGUCUCCUAGCAGAUUGUUAAUCUGCACUGUCAAAUUCUCCACUCUAGAUAAUGAUUCUGUCUCAUUAUCCUCAAACUUCUUUGUGAGAGUAAAAAAUUCUUCUUGUCUCGUCUUUAAUACCCUCUCGAGUUCUGAAAUUUGAUAUUGCAGUCCCAUAUUUUCCUCCCUCAGCUGACCAUUCUCUUCGAUUUUAGUUAUCAGGUCCUCUUCCAGUUCACCUUUCUGGUUCUUUAGAGAAAUGAACUCCAAUUCUAGUUCCUUCAUUUGUGCCAACAAACCCUCUUUCUCCUGCAGAACUCUCUGUUGAUCUUCGGUCCUGCUUACUAUCUCUUCUUUUGCCUUCUCUAUCUCAAUCACAUGAUUGGAAAUAGCUUGAGUUUUUCUCUCAAGCUGAACUUCCAGUUCUGCUUUCUGGCUAUGCAGGGACUCCAGCUCCUGCUGCAAAGUAUUUAUCUGAUCCAUCAAGCCCCUGACCUGAGUUGAUGCUUCAUCGCCUUUCACUACAAUAUGUUCUUCCAACUGAGCUUUCUGGGUGCGAAGGGACUCCAUGUCUGCUAGCAAAUUGUUGAUCUGCACUGUCAAAUUCUCCACUCUAGAUAGCGAUUCUUUCUCGUUGUCCUCAAACUUCUUUGUGAGCGUCAAAAGUUCUUCUUGUCUCUGUUUUGAUAUCAUCUCGAGUUCUGAAAUUUGGGAUCGCAGUCCUAAACUUUCCUCCCUCAGCUGACCAUUCUCUUUGAUUUUAGUUCGCAAAUCCUCUUCCAACUCACCUUUCUGAUUCUUUAAAGAAUUGACAUCAAAUUCUAGUUCCUUCAUUUGUGCCAGCAAACCCUCUUUCUCCUGCAGAACUCUUUCUUGAUCCUCGGUCUUGCUUGCUAUCUCUUCUUUUGCAUUUUCUAUCUUAAUCACAUGAUCGGAAAUAGCUCGAGUUUUACUCUCAAGUUGAACUUCAAGUUCUGCUUUCUGACUCUGCAGGGACUCCAGCUCCUGCUGCAAAUUAUUUAUCUGAUCCAUCAAGCUCUUGACUUGAGUCGAUGCUUCAUCAUCUUUUACUGCAAUAUGCUCUUCCAACUGAGCUUUCUGGGUGCGUAGUGACUCCAUGUCUGCUAGCAGAUUGUUGAUCUGCACUAUCAGAUUCUCCACUCUAGACAAUGAUUCUUUCUCAUUAUCCUCAAAUUUCUUUGCGAGAGUCAAAAGUUCUUCUUCUCUCUUUUUUGACAUCAUCUCAAGUUCUGAAAUUUGGGAUUGCAGUCCUAUAUUUACCUCUCCCAGCCGUUUUACUUCACUUGCUUUGUUCUCUAUCUGCAGCACAUGUUCUCUAUUUGUUGCUCGCAAUUGUUCCAACUCGAGUUCCAAGCUUGUCACUUGUGCCUCUAAUUCUUUUAACUGGGCAGAUGAUUGAUUCCCAUGCACCUCAUGCAACUCUUGGAGCGUCAAAAGUUCCCUUUCUUUUUCACCCAGUUCCUCUUUUGACUGACUCAUUUCAACCAUGAGUUGUUGUAUGGUGCCCUGGGCCAGCUGAAUCUCAUUUGAAACCUCAGAAAGCUUCAAGUUCAGGGAGUUAUUCUCUUCCACUGUAGCAUUAAGACUGCGGCUCAAUUCUGAAACUCGCUGUUCUGAAGAUUCCAGCUUUUGCUGCAUAUCGGAAACUUCCCCCCUAACAGUGUCUAGCUCUUGCUUUAAACUUAUAUUUUCCUCCUUCAGCAAACUAACUUCUCUUCUAAGAUCUUCUGUAAACUUCUCACCAUCUUCAAUUCUUUUAACAGCAGUUUCUUUCUCUAGAAUUAAGUUAUUGUUUUCUCGAUACAGCUCCUCGGACCUUUGGUUCAACUCGGCUUCCAUCUUAGCCGCAGCGUCCAGCUUAUGCCUCAGCUCUUCAUUCUCAACCACAAGUUUUGAAUUUUCACUCUCUGAUCUUUCAGAGUCAAGCAUCAGAUUUGUGAUGAUUUUCUCUGCUUCUCGCACCUUGCUUAAAGAAGCAAGAUAAUCUGAAUUCAAUGCAUCUUUUUCUUCUAUUGUAUCUGUCAGCUUCUGCUUAAGAUCAGCAAUUUCCAAAUUUGCUGUUUCAAGUUCUUGUUUAAUGCCUUCUGCUAUUGCCUGAAGUUCUCUUUCCAAGUGCCCAUUUUUACUGCCCCCAUCUUUUGAAUAACCAUCAGAGUCGGAAUCUGAGCUUGAUGAAGAGGAUGCAUCUUUUUCUCCUUUGCCAUGAGCUUUUUUCCUCAGCUCCCCUGUGAGAUGAUCAUAGUGUGCAUAGAGGUUUUGGUAGUGUUUGUGGAAAUCCUCGAUUAACUGAACAAGUGGUUCCUUCUUGGAGUUAGCUAUUGGAACUCCAUUUUCUUCAACUUCUUCAUCGUUAAUGAGCUUCAAUAUUGUUGCCACCUUUUCAUCAAUUUCUGAAAUGGAGGGAGCUUACAUUUGAGAUUAAAACAUGAAGCAAAUCAUAAGUGGAAAAUCAUGUUAAGCUGAUUGUGGCAAUUCAGAACAUCCCGGAACCAAAUUCUAUGAUACUCGGACUCACAUGUGAGUGCCAAUACGGGUAAUUGGAGGGGCCUUGAAGGGUCAUAUCCUCAUACCAAUGUUCAAAUAUGUGUUGAACAUAAGUGUCGAACAUAGACACUUAAAGAAAAACGAAAAUUCGGAGCAACGUAGAUCAAAUUUAUAGGUAAAAUAGAAAAUUGCACCCCAAAGAAAUCAGUAAAUGUAGAAAAUUACCUAUUUUACUUCCUUUAAGCUCUUCAUCCUUUUCUGGAUCAACAUGAUGCCCAAAGAAGGACUUUAUAGACUCCCUGAACCGAUGCUUAGUCAUCUCUUCAGAUUAUCAACUAAUUUUGCUCAGCAAGUAGGCAUGAAGAUAAGGCAAUCUAUAUCUCAAGCAUAAAAGCUGAAAAAACAGAAUUAUGGACACUUUGUAAUUAGUUUCAAACUAUGUCAACCAUAAACAAUACAACAUAGUCUUAGCCACAGAUUGGAUCGAUUGCAAAAGUAUAAAGACUAGUAAACUGACGGAUUAUUUCGGGUAUUAAUGGUCCCAAACUCACUCCCCUAUGCUAGAAAACUAUUGGCCCUCGUCUAUACGCAGACAAUGAAACAAGUUUCAAACUACACUGAAUAAGAAAAUCUUACUUUUGUUGUAUAAGUGCUACUUUUCUAAUAAAAAUAAGAUAAAAUCAAAAUAAAACCCUUUGCCUUUUUGGCAACCCUGCUUAAAAUACAAAAUCUCAAAGCAUCUUUUUUCAGCUUAAGAUGACAAAAUCCCAGACCCUGUUUCUUAUUGACAACCCAGCUUAAAAUGACAAGAUCUCGAAAAUUAUUUUUUUUUCUAACAUGGGUCCACAAAUCAAGGCAUGCAUCUUCAUUAAUAUUUAGUAUUUACUACCUUCAUUAUUAAGCAUAAUCAAAGUCGAAAAAGAAACUGACUAGACUAGCUGGUCGAAUUGGCACAGCCGAGAAUCGAAGGGUUAUUCGAUUAGAUGAUUUACAUGAGACUGGAAAAUCAAGAGAAACCCAUUUUUAUUUUUUUUUCUCUAUUUUUUAAGUUAUGACACCUGAACCCAUAAGCUCAUAGAUUCAAAAAAAAAAAAAACCUACCAUUAAGCCAAAAUGCAUGUUCUUAUAAAUCAUUUACUAGAUUUAUCAGUUAUUUAUUUUCUAACAUUUAAAAUUGUUUUAAGUAUUUAUUUAAGGAGUAAAUGGUCAGAAAAGUGGCAGAUAUGAUUCUAGCGUGGCGACACCUCAUCAUCACAUUCAUUGGGGAUGGAAUCCAGCCAUGCCAGAAACAGAGAAAGCUGAUUUGGAAUCGAAACGAUAAAAGAGAGCUAUUAUUUGAAAAAAAAAGGUGAGCUGUUCCUUUUGUCCAUUCAUUUUCUUUUUCCAUUUCAUUCAAAUAAGUCAAGGCCGGUCAGUCAAUCAUCACUCAAUUACUCAAAAACCUUUUUUCAUUUAUUAUAUAUGAAAAACGAAAUAUUAUUAAAACAAAAAAGAUAAUAAAUAAAAAACCAGUAAAGGAAUAGCAUAUCAGUAGAAAUUUGGCAUUACUGUCACCUGAGAUUCUGAGACUUUCUCGUAACUUUCCUUUCUCAAUCUUGUAUCGGAAGCUAUGCUAUAUUUCUGCAAAAACAAAUAAAUAUAUCUUUUGUUUAAAUUGAAACAGUAAAAAUAUUGAAUUUAAGAUAAAUAACCGAAUCAACACUGAUACAAGUGAUAAGUUCAAAAUGAAGAAAAUCUGAAGAUUUUUUUACUUGAACUGGAAAUCAUGAUCUAAUAAAAUUUCAUCUCUAGCCAUUUUUAAUUAUGGAGUUCGAAAAUCAAAACCACAAGGAAGUUCAAGGGAACAAAAAAGAUCUAAGUUAGUUUUAUGUUAAUGAAAACAAGUGACUCGAAGUUAAAAUUCAAUCAUAAAAUCAUAAAAGGGAAAUAACCGAACUAAAAUUCAACUAUCAAACUGAUCGAAGGUUUUUGAUUGAAACUGAAGUCCAAGUAAUCAAAAACAUGAAGUAAGUGAUGAUUAAUCAGUUGAUGAACAAAGGUUACCUUAGAAUCAGAGCUCCAAAGCUUGAUUAAGAAGAAGAAUCUGAAAAACAGAGCAAAAAAAGAAAAGAAAAAAACUCAGACUGAGAGAGAGUUCUGUUAUUUGAUAAAUAGAAAGAGCAUGAUGUAGCUUUUUCUAUUUUCAGGAUAUGGAAUGGAAUUUUUGGAGCCUUCUUUUAUUCUGAUUUUAAGUAACUACCCUUGCCUUUGUUAUUUUAUUUCAGUUAUGCCCUUUCAAUUUCUCGUCACGAGAGAUGAUCUGAACAAAUUUCAUUGGUUUUUCACGUUUAUUUCUUUAUUUUACCUUCUGUUCCAAUUGGCUGUCUGACAAUGAAAUAUCUCUAUUCAAAGAUAGUUGGAUUCAGUUACAGAAUAAAAGUAUAAUUGAUUCAAUUAUUAUUUACUGUAUCUUUGAAAUUUAAAUGUAAUUAAUCAUAUAUUUUUUAUAUAAUUAUUAUAAUUAUUGGAUUUUUUAUUGAAUUUAAAGAUUGUAAUUGUUAUAAUUAUUAUUUUUACAAGAAAAUUUAUCAUUUCCUAAAAUAUAUCCCAUCAAUUAUUUCUUAAAAUAAGUUUUUUUUUCAUUUUUGAAAGGAUUUCGACACCAUUUAUAUUUAUCGGAAUUUAAUAAAAAAAAUUUGACUUUUGAACUUCCAUGGGAUCAAGGAGAGAAAAAAAAAACUGAAUUUCUACUCAUAGUUUUAUAUAAUAAUAAAAAGGAGAAAAAAAUAAAAAAUAAGAAAAAUGGUUAGAAUGCUAAAUGUAACUCAACGAUCACGAGAGUGAAGGUUUAAAGUCAAAUUUGGUAGUCGAAAUUCUUUUUACUUGUCAUGUCUUAAGAUUUAAUGGUUAAAAUUCUAUUCUAAAAAUUGACAUUUAUGGGUGUUAAAGAUUUCUACACCAAAAACACGUAUUUUGGGAAAUAAUAUUUCUAUACCUAUUUUGAGAGUAAGUAAUUUGUUUUUACAAUUUUAUAUUUUAAAAGGUAUAAUGAUAAAUUUAACCAUUAAUAGUAUAUUUUUUGUCAAUUUAGUCUUUUUUACAUUAAAUUUAACCCUUAACAUUUAAAAAAAAGUUGAAUUGUAAUUCUUUUAAUGAAAAUACAAAUUAAAAUGUUAAUUUUUUUUUUGCGAUUAAAAAAAAUUACAUCAAAUUAAAUUGAUCAAAAACAUCCAUGACUUUAUCUUAAUUUAAAACUUCUAAUACACCAUAAGGGACUUUCAUCGUAAACUUAUAAACAUGUCUUCCAUUUUAAUAUUUAAAAUAUGAUAACUCUCGUAAUAAUAUUCAUGUAUAUUUUAUGAUAAUUUUGUAAUAUUGGAUUUUUAUUUUUUUUAAUAUCUCAUAAUCUAUUUUAAAAAUACAUGCCAUCAAAACUUGUGCCACUGCACUGCGGAGAUAUAUUUCCGCUUACGUUUCUAGUCACGAAACUUCCCGCUUUUUCACUUUUUAGCAACGUAAGCUCUUGUCCGAAUCACAAAUCCAUAACUCCCUUACCGUGAGCCAAAAUAAAAAUUUCUGUCACAUCAAUUUACUCAUAAAACAUAAGAUUAACAGAUCAAGGUAAAUCAAUGAAUAGAAUUUUGUCGCUUUUAUUAAGUUUAUGAAAUAAGAAUACAUUUGUUAAUGAAUAAAUGAGAUAUGUUACACCUUCAUAUAAAAUGACUAUUUUUCUUUUAAUUCCUAUUUUUGAAAUACAUGCAAAAAGGAAUCAUGUUUUUUUUUCUUGGUUCUACCAGAGACCAUUUCCUUGAGACGGUCAUAGCGUCUGCGGUGAUAGUCAAUCAACAGGCACAGCACUCUAAUGGCUUUCCUCUUUUCUUCUUCCCUACCCAACAACGCUUUAUCUUUUUCUUUUGUAAUCUUCUCCAUUUCUCCAAUUCGACUCUCCAGGUCGGCUAUGGCUUUCAACGGCUUCACCUUUUCUUCUUCUUCUUCUUUACUCAACUUACCUUCACAUGAAAGCUUUUCUCCAAGUUCUCUAUUUUCUUGCAUUAGCUUUCAGUUUGAUUCAUUCAUUGCAUUUUUGCUUGCAUUCAUUGAAUCCCUCAACUCCCUCAGCUCAGCUUCACAACUGGCAAGCUUCUCUUUCAGCUCACUAUUUUCGUGUUCUAGCCUUGAAAUGGAUUCAGUCAAUGAAUUCUUGCCUGCCUCCAUUGAAUCCCUAGAUUUCCUCAGCUCAACUUCACAGGUAGCAAGCUUCUCUUUAAGGUGUCCAUUUUCGUGCUCUAGCCUUGAAAUGGAUUCAGCCCAUGCAUUUUUCCAUGCCUCCAUAGUAUCCCUAGACUUCCUCACCUCAGCGUCACAAGUAGCAAGCUUCUCUCCUAGCUUUCUAUUAUCUUGCUCUAGCCUUGAAUUCGAUUCAGACAAUGCAUUUCUGGCCGUCUUUAUUGAAUUCCUUAACUUCCUUGUCUCAGCUUCACCGGUGGCAAACCUUCUCUCUAAGAGCUCCAUUUUCUUGCUCCAGCAUUUCCUUGUCCUUAACUUCCAACACAUUGAUAUUAAAUGUGGUUCCUGUCAAUAAUCGUCUGGCAAGCUUCGAGUUCGACUCCAUGGAUUUGUUAGUUUUUUCCUGUCUUCCUUUCAUGAUUCUCUUCUGAUCAGCAAUCCGCAACUCUAACUCGCUUUUCUCCAUCAUCAUGAACUCUACCUUCUGUUGCAGAAGUUCAACCUCCGCAGUCAAGGUCAUAGUCUGCGCGGUUUUGUUACUCCGUUUACUUUCGUAGUCCUCCUGAAUAGCAGAAAUCUCGAGGUACCUUUGCCGAAAUAGUGCUUCCAAUUCUACCAUUUAGAUGACUCGUUUCCUCUCUCAGUUGAUUGAUUUUGCAAAUAUUACUCCGCUCGUCAUCUUCUAAUUUAUGUUUCUGCUUGCGAAGAACGUCCACCUCGGAUUCUAACUCCAUCACCUGCAUCUGUAACCCUUCUUUUUCUUCUGCCAUUACCUGCUCAAUACACUCUUUCUAGCUAAUUCUUCUUUCAGGGUUUUCACUUAAAUCAAAUACUGGGAAGUUUCUUUAGAUUUCGUCUCAAGCAAAAGUUCCAACUCGAUUUUCUGGCUGUGUAGGGAAUCCAAUUCCUGCUUCAUUACAUCUAUCUCGGAACUUUGGGCACGUAAAUAGUCCAUCUCUGCCUUCAGACUAGUGAUCUGUACCAUUGACUCCUCAAGUUUAGAUGUUAAGUUGUUGUCAUUGUCCUCGACUUGCUUCAUGAAUUUAGUCGCUUCAUCUCGGACCUCCGAAACCUUCCCAUACAAUGCCUUAAUUGUCUUUCCUUGCAGUUUAGUUUCAGCUGUCUUAGCAUCAAGCUGAGCUUCCAAAUCUCUUUUCUGGAACUGCAGAGACUCCACCUCAUUUUUCAAGCCAAUUAGCUGCUCCUCUAGCUCAGUUAUCCGUCCCUCAUGCACCGUUUCGGAAUCACAAAGUCUCUUUUCUUUCUCAUCCGCUUCUUUUCUCAAAUCUUUGUUGAUGAUUUCGAUUUCUUGUAUUUUACUCAAAGCAGCCAAAUGGUCCAAAGCUAAAAGUUCGUUCUCUUCAGUCUUAGAGGCCAAUUGAUGGUUCAGGUCACCAAUUUUUUUUAAUGCCCUUUCAAGUUCUUCCUGAUGGUUUCGGUCAUUGUUAAACGCUACGCUGGGGUUAGUUUCGACAUCCAUCGACGAGUGAUUCUCCGAGUCUGAACCAGAGGCAUAAUAAGAAUGAUUUUCGGCUCAUUCCAAUCAGAAACCUUCUUAUCAGACUGUCGUUUAACAUUUUCAUACUGAGAAUAGAGAAACUGGUACUGCUUGUGAAAAUCCUCAACGAGUCCAACAAGUACGGGCUCCUUUUUCCCUCUUUCUCCUCUUGGCCAGCUUCAACAUUCUUUCAACCAUCUUCAAGAAAAAAGACGUAUCAAAAUUCAGGGAAACUGAUAAAACUGACUAAGAUCAAACAUUAAAAGUGGCCAUCAAAUCAAAUAUCAGAAACUUUAGAUAUACUUGGUAAAUUGGGGAGAAAAAGUUUUUGUAAUGAUAGUCAUGCUAUCUUUGAUUCUUCAUUAAUGUAAGAAGAUCUAUGUUAUCUAGAUUCAGGAUAGGAUACAUAUAUGCAUUUGAUAUGGGUGCGUCUAAUUUUUAAAAGUUUAACAUAUAUUUAAAGGGUCUUUUGAAGAUCCACAUUCCUAUACUUAUGAUCAAAUAUGCAUUGAAUUAGUGCACAUAAAAGAAAAUUGAAGUGUCAAAGCAACAUAGAUAAAAGUAUAUCAGCAACAUUUUACAAACCUGUUUUAGUUUCUUCUUGUGUUACGGACUUAGAUUUUUCCCACGUGAUCCGUGCGGCAUUAGGUAGUUUCUUUAUUCAAAAACGCCUAAGUCAGUCUUAACUCGCAACAAAUGAGGAUUUAACAGAAUUUCUCUAAGGCACCAAUGAAGAAUAGUAGAAGAACGAAGUAAGAACAAAUCUUGAAAGAUGAACAAAAGCCACAGAAAAGCAUGAACAGAGAGAAAAGUUUGAGUGAAUGCUCUCAAAAUUUUAUUAACAACUUAAUACUUUACAAUGAGCAGAGAUGUGUCUAUUUAUAGCUAAGCCUCUCUAAAAUCAACAGUAUAAAUCAAAGAACAUCAAUGGCUACAAUUAAAAGCUAUCUAGAUAUCAAAUAUCUAAUAUUACAUAAUCGUAUCUUCUAAAGAUUUACAUUUAAUGUCUAAGAUCACAUAUCUCUGAAGAUAACUUUCCAUAUUUGCCAAGCAUAUCUUUAAAGAUUACUUUCCAUAUUUACCAAGCUCUGUAGAUGGGCUUUUAGUCUCUCCAAACAAUGGACCAGUCCAAUUGGGCCAAAUUACCCCCCUUGAAUGCGAUGGAUCGUAUGAGUUUGUCAUGGUUGCGGGCUCCCAUGCGCAACCCAUGACACUUAUUCCAUCUUUUUUAACUUUUGAAGAUCACGGUAACCCUCCGAAGUCAUUGUCAGCCUUUAUUGCUUCACCACUAUGAAAUUUGCAGCAAAUUUGCUGAAUGAGUGACAUAACAUUAAUAAAUUACUUGACAAUGCCACAUUCAAACACUGUAAAAUCCUAAACUUACGCAUAUCCUUGAAAAUUGUUUCGGGGGCCAUUUUAGAUAAUUUACCCUUUAUUUGGCCUUCUUCACUAAACAAAAAAAAAAGCUUACAUCAAAAUCAAAGUAGAAUAGUCCUUUAUCCAAAUUGCUCAAAAUUCAAAGUGCUAAAAAAAUGGUUUUGAAAAGCAUGCAAUGAGGAAUUAUCAGUUGUACACUCUUAACCUACCUGCAUUAACAAUUCAUUAGUGAUAGUUACUACCUAGUCAAAAUGUUAAAAGGAGAUGCAAAUUAGCCCCUUAUUUUGGAACUCUAUUAUGAGUAAAAGUUUAUCCACUUUUAGCAUCCAACUUUUACUUACACUUGAACCGGAUCCGAAUCCAGUUUAUGUUGUUCCAACUCUCCAUUUUUUUUUGUUCUAAAAAUUCAUAUGUCGAACAUUCUUCUAUCGAAUGUAUAUCCAUAUCUGGCUCACUAAGAGACCAAUCAACAUAGGUUUAAAUUAAUAGGUUUUUUAAUGAAACCCAGCUAAAAUAAAUAUUACCUUGGUUGCACUAAAGUAAUGAACAGAUUCAUCCAUGAUCCAGGAAUCUUCCUAGAACUAAGGGAUCUAAUCUGGCAUGUAUUAUAGCAACUAUUCUACUAUCCUCACACAAAGGCCUAGCAACAAAAAAGGAGAGGACCAUUUUUAUUCAUAGAUUGGGUGAUGACCAGUGGUGCAUAAGUUUUUAGAUGUCACCUUCAAAGCCGAAAACAGCCUGCCCCCACUCAUUUCAUGCCCCUUUUGAAUCUCAAAAUAAAUAACGGUAACAGUCAACAUUUUUUUUAAUUUGAUGAUUAAAUGUUUAUUUUAUCACAAAUUUUAACUUAAAUUAUGAGACUACUGCUUCGAUUCUUUUACACAUCGAUUAUGUUAUAUAUAAGGCAUGGCAUUCGCUGAAAUCGACGUUAAAUUUGGUAGAUUCUAAUUUAAAAAUUAAACCUAAUCAAGAAAUUAAUAGAAUAAUAGGAACGAAAUUUAACAGAAUAAAAAUCUGAUUAAAAAACAAAACUUACCUGGAAACUGAAGGCGAAUAUUCUUUCUGCGGAUCAAAAUGCAAUGGAAAGUGAUAAAAUACUCGCAGGAAAAUUAGAAAGAAAAGGGGGUGAAUUUUUAAUAAUUUUUAGUAAUUUUCUUUUGAAUUUGGGGAGAGAAUUUUGGCUUGGCCUGGCUGGUCCACCAGAAUGAAUUUUUGGAGCCUCUUUUCAUACGAUUGCCCUUUGAUUUCGGGUUUUAUUACACUCAAAAAUUUUAGCCGAGAAAAACGCGAUAAUUUCAUUCUACUCAAAUAUGAUUGGCUGAUAUUCCAACAUGAGGCCACGUGGGUGAUGUCCCGCGCCCCUGUCUUUUGUCUUUUGCGUUUUACGAUUUAAACAUGAACCAUCCCAUUACAUACAUAAUAAUGUAUCUAAAGUUAAAAAAUCGUUAUUAUAAGUAACAAACAGUUAUUGCUCUGUUCCUUAAUUAUUAAGCUAUUUUUGCAAUUCUAAAAGAAAAUUAGAUCCCUGAACAAUUUAAUUAUUGUAUCUUUAAUUCCAAAUAAAAUAAAAUAAAAAUUUAAACAACAUGAAAGUUUUUAAAAAAAUAAUAAUUUGUGUUAUAAAUUUUUUUUUAAAUCAACAGUUUAAAAUUUUUAUAUUUAAUACAGAAGUAAAUAAGUAAAUUUAUAAAUGAAAGUCAUUGAUGCAUGGUAAAUAAGGGAGGAAGAGAUUAAAGUGAUAGUGAAUAUCAGUUUACUUAAAAAGGUCAAGAGCCGAAACAAGGACAAGAUAAUAAGUUGACCAAGACACUUGUGCUAAACAAUAAUAUUGUAAAAGUUGAGGUACUAAUUUUUUUCAAAAAUUAAAUCUUAAAUUUAAGUGUAGCAUAGAAACCAAAAUUAAAAUUUCACCAUUUUCUUUUAUAACGCAUAAAGAAAAAAGAGAAAGGUGGCCCCAUGUUUUAUAUACUUAGGUAUAAGGAACCAAAAUUGAAAAUUUACCAAUUUAUAUUGGUUUAUAGAUAUGCUCAAUCUAUACAAUUUUCUUUCAUGUGUAUGUAUAUAUUAUAUUUUUUAUGUUAUCUUACAAUUCAUGUUCGCGAUUUAUGGUUGUCCUUUUUAAUAAUGUUGUCUUCAAAAUUUAAACUUCACCACUAUACCCAACACUUAUUGGUAAUUUUCUCUUGUAUAUAUUGAAAAGAAAGUGAACAACUUUUUUAAGUUGUAUCAAUUUGUUGUUAGUUUUCACAAUUAUGAAACAAUAACUUUUUAAGCACGUGAUAUUUCUCGUGAGUUGGAUCAAGGAGUGAAUACGAAAAAAAUCAAACUACAUUUUUUCAAUUUAGAGUUAUAUUUCAUAUCCAUGCUUAAAAAUAAGUAUAUAUCAAAUAAAAAGACAUUAAAAGAAAUUAAGAGUCGCAAUUCAAAAGCAAAGGCAUCUCAAAUGGUUAUCACCACCUCCAUCACCAUCAUCUUUACCACUCUUGAAUCUUUUUAUAAACUCUCACCGAUGAUAAUCAUAUGUAUUAGAAGAUAAGUAAUGAAAGGAGGUUUUCAAAUAAGUUUUUGAUGUGUUAUUUGUUUGUAUUAACAAACCUCUCAAUGGGUUGGUAUUAUCUCUUGAUUUAUCCCCUUACUCUGUCGAAAGCCUCAACUAGAGAUGGGGCUCACAAAGCGGGAGUGCCUUACCGAGUCGGACCACGCAUGAUAAACGGCCAUCUAUUAAGGAAAUAAUGGUCAUUUGCGAAUAAUAAAGUUUGAACGCAAACCUUAUAUGGCAUCAAUGGGCAUAUGAGUUAUUACUUGAUGUAGUUCUGUUUAUCAAGAUGCAAAUUGCACAUAGUGAUACUUAUGAUUUGCUAGUUCUCAUGAAGAAGUGUAAAAUAUGUUAGACCUCGCGAGCUAUUCAAUACGUUUUCAUGCAAAUCGCAAGCUUGUAAGUGUUGCAAAGGGCACUGAGCAUUGGAGGCUCGCCUUCUCGUAGUAGUUGACAAAGAAACAAAUUAGGAUCCACCAGAAAAAGCCCGUCAACCUUCUAAGGGCAAUCCUAUAUUGCUACAAGGCCUCAAAAAAUUCGAUGGAAAGGCGGAUCAAACCCAACCUCAAAGACAAACAACGACAACAAAAAUCCUCUCAUUACAUCACAUAUACGGCUUACUCCAUCAAGAAUAGAAUAGUUUGGCAUGUUCAUUCCCCUAAUCUCCAACGUUUUUACCAUCUCCUCGUGCUUUCUUUUAUAUGUCCACUAGUUUCCUCACCUAUGAAUACCAUUUUUUUUACUUGAAGAGGGAUCUCUCUCCUUCUACCUCUCUAUUCUACCUAGAUUUUUCUUUACGCUCUCCCCUCGCCACCGUUUGAACCGUCCCCAAAACUUCUUACCUCGUUUUCUCAUCAACAAUCUUAUAAAUGUUGUUUCUUCUUAUAUUUGGAGUAUAGAACUAAGGCUUCCAAUACUCUAAAAUGAGGAACAAGGCAGACAAAUAGAAUUCAGAAAUUAAAAAGGGAAAAAGGAUGAAAAACUUUUAUAGAGAAGGAAUAGAGUGGGAUAAUGAUGAAAUAUUACAGCUAUGAAAAGGUGAAAACCUUACAUCCAAAAAGCUAUGCAAAGAAGCAGAAAUGUGCAGCAAAAGAUUUAUAUGGUACACACUCUUCCUCCAAUUUGUAUCAAAAUAGCAAGAAUUAUGAUGAAAACCCAAGAUCUAAAUAUGUAUCAUGCAAAUUUACAAGGCCAACCCCUCUUACUUAUGGUGAUUAAUUAGUGCUAAUCUGAGGUUUCACCUGUUGUUGUCACUGCACCUCAUUGUCGCCCUCUGCUGAAAUAACUUGUAACGAAUGGCCAUCAUUUCUCUCAUUAUCCUUGUACUAUGAAGACAUUUCAAGGUUGUUGGUCGUUGUAGAUUGUCCUUUUGGUCUCUAAAUGUUUUGUUUACCUUCAUUAUGGUGAUUAAUUUGUGCUAAUCCGAGGUAUGACCUGAUGUUUGUUGCCGACCUCUGUUGAAGGAACUAUUAGGAGUGGGUCCCACUAUGUGGGAAACCCAUAUUUUCUGCCACAAUUUUUGCCUUCUUUUUGGUUUUGUCAAAAGCCAAUUUUUUGGCCUUUUAACGUGGGAGUGGGCAACAUUCUUAAUUGAGAGCAAAAUUCUCAAUUACAUCCAGAGAGAAAGAGAGUGAAAUUGAAGCUCGUUGGAGAAAAAGAGAGAAUAGAAAAAUCAGUUUUUCAAGCUUGGUGCAGUAGUGAUCAACUCUUCGAUCGAAGGUCCAUCCGUGGUUCGAUUGAGCUGAUUUUUGGACAGCAGCUAGGCGAUAAGGUGUUCUUGACUUUGUACAGUCAGAUUUUUCAUCCGAGUCUUUUAGCGUCGGAAAUACCCAUUUUUCAGCAGCUGCAUUUUUUGGUGAUGUUCUUUCAUUUUUUUCUCUUUUGCUAAAGAUUACAUAUUGUUAGCCUUGUCGGAGUUGAAUGCUUGUUGUAGGCUUGAUAUUGUGAUCUUGUAGCCGAACAUUUGAUGAUAGUGGAGCUCUUUAUCGGACUCUAAAGUCCCGUGGUUUUUACCCUUAAUUUAGAGGGGUUUUCCACGUAAAAUACCGGUGUCUCUAUUUAUUUUUAUUGUGGUUGCAUUAGUUGAUUUGUGGUUGAUUAAGGUUGCUAGAGAACAUAUCUUGUGCUAUUGUGCUUGCCAUAAUUUUUGACAAGAGUUAUAGGGAGAGAGAACACCAGUUGUGCUUUCGCUUUGUUUCGGUUGUUCGGUUUCUUCCCAACAAACUGGUACCAGAGCUUGGUUAUUGUGUCAGAUAAUUAUGGAAAUUAAUACGAGCAAGAUGAUUAUGUUGAAUGGCACAAAUUAUCAACUUUGGCGGAAUAAAAUGAAGGACUUGUUGUUUGUGAAGGCUUUGCAUCUUCCGGUCUUUACUACUCAAAAACCUGAUUCGAAAAGUGAUGAAGAAUGGGAAUUUGAGCAUCAACAAGUGUGUGGCUUUAUUCGGUAAUUUGUUGAAGAAAAUGUUUACAACCACAUUGAUCAGGAGACACAUGCUCGAACAUUGUGGGAGAAGCUUGAAAGCUUGUAUGCUUCGAGGUCGGGCAAUAACAAGUUAUUUUUGCUGAAGAAAAUGAUGGCGCUGAAAUAUAAAGAAGGAAUGUCUAUAGCUGACCAUGUUAGUGAAUUUCAGAGUAUGAUGAAUCAGUUGCUUGGUAUGGGUGUCAAAUUUGAUGACGAGAUUUUAGGACUUUGGUUGCUUGCUACUCUACCAGACUCUUGGGAGACCUUUCGAGUCUCACUCAUUAAUUCUGCCCCACAGGGUAUUAUUACUUUGGAUUUGGCUAAGAGUGGUGUGUUGAAUGAAGAGGUUAGAAGAAGAUCUCAGGGCUCUACAUCACAGUCCGAGGUGUUGGUUAUCGAGAACAGGGGGAGAAACAGAGACAAAGAUGGAAAGGGUAGAGAUAAAAGCCGAAGCAAGUUAAGAUCGAGAUACAAGAAUCUUGAGUGUCAUCAUUGUGGUAAGAAAGGUCAUAUCAAGAAAUAUUGCUUCAAGUGGAAGAAAGAGAACAAAGGUGGUGGUGAUAAACACGAUCAGAAUGACGAUGAAAAAUCCGAGCGUGUUGCUACUGUUACUCGUGAAGAUUUGUUAGUUAUUUGUGAUGAGAAUUUGGUCAACCUAGCAUGCGACGAGACUAGUUGGGUGAUUGAUACUGGUGCAUCACUUCAUGUCACGUCGAGGAAGGAAUUCUUCACAUCUUAUACUCUUGGUGAUUUUGGGGUAUUGAAGAUGGGUAAUGAUGGUUUGGUUUCGGUUAUUGGUAUGGGAGAUGUUAGCUUGGUAAGUAACAAUGGAACAAAGUUAACUCUCAAGGAUGUCAGACAUGCACCAGAUGUUCGUUUGAAUUUGAUUUCUGCAGGAAAGCUUGAUGAUGAGGGAUUCUGUAACACCUUCAGUGAAGGGCAGUGGAAGCUGACUAAAGGCUCAUUGGUUGUGGCUCGAGGAAAGAAGAGAUCAAAUUUGUACUUGAUGCAAGCUUUGACUUCUCGAGAGACGGUGAAUGUGACACUGAAUGACAACUCAACUGAGUUGUGGCAUAAACGACUCAGUCACAUGAGUGAGAAGGGGCUUAGCUGUUUAGCGAAGAAGAAUCAACUUUCGGGUUUAAAGAAUGCUACACUGAAGAAUUGUGCUCAUUGUCUAACAGGAAAGCAGAGAAGAGUUUCAUUUAGAAGUCAUCCUUCUCAUAGGAAAUCAGAGUUGCUAGAGUUGGUCCAUUCAGAUGUUUGUGGUCCGAUAAAAGUAAGAUCACAUGGUGGUGCACUUUACUUUGUGACUUUCAUUGAUGAUUGUUCAAGAAAGCUAUGGGUUUACACUUUGAAGUCCAAAAAUCAAGUCUUUGAGGUGUUUAAACAGUUUCAAGCAUCAGUUGAAAGGGAAACUGGGAAGAAGUUGAAGUGCAUUCGUACUGAUAAUGGUGGCGAGUACACAGGGUCAUUUCAUGAGUAUUGUCUGCGACAGGGAAUCAGACAUCAGAGAACACCACCAAAGACUCCACAGUUAAAUGGGUUUGUAACACCCCUUAACCCCGAACCGUCGCCGGAACAGAAUUACGAGGCAUUACCGGACGUAUCAAACGAUUUACAACAAUUCUUAAAUAAAUAACCAAUAUAUUAAAAUAAUUCAUAAAAUUUAUUAGUUUGUUUACCAAAUGACUUCAUUUUUUUUUAUAAAAAUUUCGGCAGCAUUUCUGCUUAUUUUUACAUAAAACCCCCUGCAAAUUAAAACCAUAUAGUUCCCAAAUAUCACCAAUUCAACCAAUUCAUUUCACAUUCACAUUUUCUAUUCUAAAUACUUCUAAUCAAACUCAAUCUACACAAUAUCAAUUUAAAAUUUAACAAUGUACUAAUUAGAUAAAAUAGAUAGACUUCUUUCAUUAAAAUCCAUAAACUUUUAAUACUAACAUUUUUAACCAUUAUAUAUUAAAACAUAAUAACCUUUAUACACAAUCUAUGUACAUGCCACCUUUACCAAAGGAAAAAUACAUCACCAAGUUUUGUCGAAGCCGGGAUUAAUCUGGAUGCUGAACCGGGACCUUUGACUUCUAUCGACCUGCGCACGGAAACAACCGUACGCUGAGUAAUUCAUACUCAGUGGUAUUACCAUAAUUCAAAUUAUAACAAUAAUGUACAUGUAAUGCAUAAAUCGUAUAUACAAUUUAAAUUCAAUAUUUCAACAAUAGCAAUUCAUCAACCAAUAUCGUAUAUCCACAAUUUGAGUUUGAAUAAAUCACGAACCUUAGGUUCAUUUCUCAAUCUCAUUUCACAUUUCAAUUCACAAUUCAACUUUUUCAUAUCAUUUCAAUAGCUCGUUUGACCAACUCGUUCGGUUUAUCAUUUCAUCAUUUACCCUAUUAACAAAACUCGGACUUUGGCGGAUACACGGAUCCAACCAAACACACCAGAAUGGCACCCAGUGCCUCAUCGGAUAGUUCGAAGCAAUAGUUGACACCCAGUGUCUCAUCGGCAAAGCCGAAGAAAGUUGGUACCCAGUACCUCAUCGAAUCUAUCCGAAGAAAUAUAGUGACACCCAGUGUCUCAUCGACUCGAGGUCGAAGUAUCCCUGAACUCUUCCAAUCCUAUGGCAUGCCAACUAUAUCCGACUCAGCCCGACUAGUUAAUAGGGUAUUUAAAUCACAUAUAUUCUCAAUUCAAUCACAAUUUCUCACACUUUCAAUUCAAUCAUUUUUCCACAUUCAAUCAAUAAUUAUUUCACAAAUUCACACAUUUUCACAACUCAAUACAUUUCCAUACAAUUUAAUACCAUUCACAAUUCGAUUCAAAUUCAUUUCCCGCUUUCAAUCAACAAACAAUUCAAAUAUUAAUUCAUAUAAACUAUUCAAUUUAAUUCCCACUCAUAAUAAUAAUAAUAAUACUAAUAAUAAAUUAAUACUAAUAUUAUACUUACCUCACAUUUCAUUUACUAGACACAUAAAUUAAAAUUUAGCAUUUAAUAAUAAAUAACUUGAAUUAUAGUAAUACAAACCGUUAUUCUCCCGUUUUAGUCCUCAAUAACUUUCUCCUUUCCUUUUGACGCCGAUGCCUCGGGUUCUUUGUUAGCUACGAAAAUAAUAAUUUGUAAUAUUAAUUACAGCACUAAUUAUAAUAAAUAAUUGAAUUUCUAUUCAAUUUCUUCCUAAUUCUCAAUUUAAUCCUAACUAAAUUCACUUACUUUCCUAAUUCAAUUCACGCUCUAUUUCUAUUCAAAUUUCAUCCAAACUAAAAUUUAACUAUCAAAAUUUCAGCAUAUUUUGCUAAUUUCGAAUUUCCCUCAAUUUAGUCCCUAAAACAUAAAACUUAUAGUUUCUUUUACAAUUUAAUCCCUUUUUUCAAUUCUAACUUAAAAUUCCUUCAAGUUAAUCCCUAAUUCAUCUCUUUUGUUCAACAUAAACUAUACUUGAAAACCUAUGAACUUACAAAAUAUCAACUUAAUUCCAUCAAAACUUUGUUUUAAAGCUUUUAAAACAUUAGAAUUAAGAGAAAAGGGCUAAUUUGACUUACCAAUCAAAGUUUUAAACCUUAAACCUUCAAUUUUUCCUUUUUCUUUCUUUUUUCUUCUUUCUCCCCUGUUUCUUCUCUGUUUCGUCUUUGGCUAUUCUGUUUCUUUCUUCUUUUGUUUCUUUUAUUCUUUUAUUUUAACUUACUUUACUUUAUUUCCUUUAUUUUAUUUCUUUUGUUUUCUUUUAUUUAAUUACUUUAAUAUAAUAAUUAAAACAAAUAUCUAUUUAGUAAUUAAAUAUAAGUAUUACAAAUGUAUGUAUUUUAUUAAUACACUUGUAUUAAAUAUCACCAUACAUUUGUCUUUAUUUAAUUUAUUUCUUAAUAUAAUAUUUAUAAUAUAAUUAAUUUAAUAAUAUCAUUUAUAAUUAAUUUAUAUAUUUAUAUAAAUAAAUAAUAUAAAAAUCUAAGAUUUUUACAAUGUUAUGCCGCCUCAACUUCCAAAUGUGGCUUAAUUGCCCAUUUGGUCCCUCUUAUUUUCUUUUGAUCUAUAAUUAAACAUUUACCCUUUAUUCAAUUUAAUCUUUUUUCCUAAUUAUUCUUAAUUAGAUUAAAUUCAUCUAUCUAAAACUUAAUUAAACACACAACUAGUCUCGUAAAUAUUUCUAAUAAUUAUUUUCGAACUCAAUUUACUAAGACGGAGGCCCGAUAUUAUACUUUUUCGAUGCCCGUGAAUUUUGGGUCAUUACAGGGUUAGCUGAAAGAAUGAACCGAACAUUGAUUGAGAGAGUCAGAUGUUUGUUGUCAGAUGCAAAGUUACCAAGAUCGUUUUGGGCUGAAGCUUUGAAUACAGUGACACAUGUGAUAAAUCUGUCUCCUAGUGUUCCUUUGAAAGGUGAUGUGCCAGAUAGAGUUUGGUUUGGUAAAGACGUGUCAUAUGAUCACCUACGUGUGUUCGGGUUUAAAGCAUUUGUUCAUGUUCUAAAGGAUGAAAGAUCCAAGUUGGAUGCCAAGGCUCGACAAUGCAUUUUUAUUGGUUAUGGUCUAGACGGUGAGUUUGGUUAUAGACUCUAUGAUCCAGUUCAGAAGAAACUCGUGAGAAGCAGAGAUGUUGUCUUCAUUGAGGAUCAGACCAUUGAUGACAUUGAUAAGACAGAGAAAGUGGAUUCACAAGGUAGUAGUGACUUGAUUGAUGUGAAUCUGGUUCCCCUAGACUCUUCACCAGAUCCUAUCCAGGAUGAUGUGCAUGGUGAUGUUAGUGGUGUCCGUCAGACUAUAGGUGACUUUGAUACUUCCAUGGAUGAUGUUGUGAAUGAUCAACAACAAGCACCUAUAGCUCCACCAGCAGUUCCACUUCGAAGGUCUUCCAGAGAUCGACGAUCUUCUGUCAGGUAUUCUCCUGAUGAAUAUGUUCUUUUGACUGACGGGGGAGAACCUGAAUGUUAUGAAGAGGCUAUGGAGAGUGAAUGCAAAGAUCUGUGGGUUGAAGCGAUGAAAGACGAACUUCAAUCCUUACAUGAGAACCAUACUUUUGAAUUGGUGAAACUGCCUAAGGGAAAAAGAGCUUUGAAUAAUCGGUGGGUUUACAGGUUGAAGCAAGAAGAGAAGUCUUCAUCUCCACGAUACAAAUCUAGAUUGGUCGUCAAGGGUUAUACUCAGAAAAAAGGGGUUGAUUUUGAAGAAAUAUUUUCUCCGGUUGUGAAGAUGUCCUCUAUCAGAACUAUACUGAGUUUGGUAGCUUGUUAUGACCUAGAGGUUGAACAAAUGGAUGUGAAAACUGCUUUUCUUCAUGGUGACUUGGAAGAAGAGCUUUACAUGGAGCAGCCAGAGGGUUUUGUUGCACAAGGGAAAGAGGACUAUGUGUGCAGAUUGAAGAAGAGCUUGUAUGGUUUGAAGCAAGCUCCAAGGCAAUGGUACAAGAAGUUUGAGUCUGUUAUGGGGGAGCAAGGCUACAAGAAGACUACUUCUGAUCAUUGUGUGUUUGUUAAGAGAUUCUUUGGUGAUGAUUUUAUUAUUCUUUUACUCUAUGUUGAUGAUAUGCUUAUUGUUGGUCAGAAUGCUUCUAGAAUUGAGAAGUUGAAACAAGAGUUGAGUAAAUCCUUUGCAAUUAAGGAUUUGGGGCCAGCAAAGCAAAUUCUUGGCAUAAGACUGACACGUGAUAAAAAGGCCAAGAAAUUAUGGUUAUCACAAGAGAGGUACAUUGAGAAAGUACUUCAAAGGUUUAGUAUGGACAAAGCUAAAGCGGUGAAUACUCCAUUUGCUAUGCACUUUAGAUUGAGUGUUAAGCAUAGUCCUUCCACAGAAAAGGAGAAGGAAGAGAUGCAGAAAAUUCCUUACUCUUCAGUCGUGGGUAGUUUGAUGUACGCAAUGGUUUGCACGAGACCAGACUUGGCUUAUGCUGUUGGUACAGUUAGUCGGUUUCUUUCUAAUCCAGGCAGAGAGCAUUGGAAUGCAGUGAAGUGGAUUAUGAGAUAUCUUCGUGGCACUUCCAACAUGAAACUUUGUUUCGGCAAUGAAAAACCUGUUCUUGUUGGGUAUACAGAUUCAGACAUGGCCGGAGACAUUGACUCGAGGAGAUCUACUUCAGGUUACUUAAUCACUUAUGCAGGGGGAGCAGUGGCAUGGCAAUCGAGACUGCAAAAGUGUGUUGCAUUGUCCACCACCGAAUCAGAGUUCAUUGCAGCAACCGAAGCGUGUAAGGAGAUGCUUUGGAUGAAGAAGUUUGUGCUUAAGCUUGGUUUUACUCAGGAGAAGUAUGUCCUAUACUGUGAUAGCCAGAGUGCUAUUUAUCUUGGUAAGAACUCAACUUUUCAUGCUAGAUCUAAGCAUAUUGAUGUGAGGUACCAUUGGAUACGAGAUGUUCUUGAAGCUAAGCUGUUAGAGCUUGAGAAGAUACACACUAAUGAUAAUGGUGCUGAUAUGUUGACGAAGGCCUUACCAAGAGAAAAGUUUGAAGCAUGUUGUUUGACCUCCGGUAUGGAGGCAUUCCCCACAUAGUUGGAGGGGAAGAUUUGUUAGGAGUGGGUCCCACUAUGUGGGAAACCCAUAUUUUCUGCCACAAUGUUUUGCCUUCUUUUUGGUUUUGUCAAAAGCCAAUUUUUUGGCCUUUUAACGUGGGAGUGGGCAGCAUUCUUAAUUGAGAGCAAAAUUGUCAAUUACAUCCAGAGAGAAAGAGAGUGAAAUUGAAGCUCGUUGGAGAAAAAGAGAGAAUAGAAAAAUCAGUUUUUCAAGUUUGGUGCAGCAGUGAUCAACUCUUCGAUCGAAGGUCCAUCCGUGGUUCGAUUGAGCUGAUUUUUGGACAGCAGCUAGGCGAUAAGGUGUUCUUGAAUUUGUACAGUCGGAUUUUUCAUCCGAGUCUUUUAGCGUCAGAAAUACCCAUUUUUCAACAGCUGCGUUUUUUGGUGAUGUUCUCUCAUUUUUCUCUCUUUUGCUAAAGAUUACAUAUUGUUAGCCUUGUCGGAGUUGAAUGCUUGUUGUAGGCUUGAUAUUGUGAUCUUGUAGCCGAACAUUUGAUGAUAGUGGAGCUCUUUAUCGGACUCUAAAGUCCCGUGGUUUUUACCCUUAAUUUAGAGGGGUUUUCCACGUAAAAUACCAGUGUCUCUAUUUAUUUUUAUUGUGGUUGCAUUAGUUGAUUUGUGGUUGAUUAAGGUUGCUAGAGAACAUAUCUUGUGCUAUUGUGCUUGCCAUAAUUUUUGACAGGAGUUAUAGGGAGAGAAAGAACACCGGUUGUGCUUUCGCUUUGUUUCGGUUGUUCGGUUUCUUCCCAACAGGAACCUGUACUGAAUGAUGAUCGAUUUUCUCGGAUUACCCCUGUAUUGUGAACACGGUUCAAGGUUGAUGAUCGAGUAGAUUGUCCAUUUAUUGCCCCUGCAAUCAUUGAAUAUAUGGUUCAAUAUCCUUCACACCUUAAAUAUAACCCUAAACUAUAUAUACAUAUUGGAAAUGAAAGUGGAAACUAUCAAUAUAACCUGAAUUUUUCUUGGCCUUCACGUUAAUGUUUUUCUUUGUCAUUACAACUCUCUUCUCUGGAGUCUUUGUGGAAACCAAUCUCUUUGGGGGCGAGCGAAACCGUAUUGUUCUCCUUUCCGGAACCUCACUGUAAACUGAUCUUACAUCCGAAUAAACUGACUUGGUAUCUGAACCACGAGAUUUCACAUCAGAACCAACAGACUUUGUGUCACUAGUUGCUGUCAAUGGAUCCUCUAUUAUAGAAACAAUAUCAUCUCUGCAAGUCGAGGCCCCUUCGAUGGUUAACUCGCCAUUCUUAUCCUUCGUGUUCAUAAUAUUUUGAUCUUUCUCGACAAGCCGAUAAGCAAACAUUUGAAAACGGAUUUGUGCAACUGAAAGUGGAUUGAAAGUCUCAUUUACAGUGAACUUUCUUGAAAACCAUGUCUAUAUCUCACAAUAAUCUUCAAUAGGACAUUGCACUUCAGGCUGAUCAUAGUCAUGGUCGGGGUUCAUCACGAGGAACUUCUUGAUGUAGCGCAAAAUCCGACAAAUUGAUGAGAAACUCGGGCGCUGAUUCGAAUCGUUAUGCCAACACUUUUUCGUUAAAUUGACAAGAUAUUUUGGGACUGUGUAGGGAAAAAGAGGCCUCUCCCCUGCCAAGAUAUUUCUACUCAUAUUCUCUACAUGUCCUUCAAACGGUUGUUUCCCAGCCAAUAACUCAAAGCAAAGCAUCCCAAAGCUGUACACAUCUGCCUUCUCUGAGUACUUCAAAAUGGAAGAUUCAUUGGAUGACUGCUCUUGCUCUAUCAUAACUUCUGGAGCAUACCAAAUGAAAGGUUUUGGCUCGCACAACCUCGGUGACGAGUUCGGGGAGGAACGAGGCUUUACAUCAGAUAAACCGUAACCGAGAUCUUCAAAUGGAAACAACCUUCAACAUUGUUCCUAGCUUUUAGAAAGAUGUUACUAGCGUUCAACUCUCCAUGAUAAAUCUUCUUUGAAUGCAGAUAUUCCAUUCCUCUUGCAAUUUGAAGCAUAAGAUCAACCACAACAUGAAGAGGGAACAAGAUCCGCCUUCUCGAGCCGUAAUUCUCCUUCAUGUAACUACCGAGAUCCUUGUUCAUUAACUCGAGAACAAGCAACACUUCUUUCUUUUCUUCAUCGUAAAACCCACAAAGGUAUUGCAGUAUGUUUGGAUGAGUGAGUGAAAGUAAUUUAGAGAUUUCAGAAUAUAAUGGUUCAACAUCCCCAAAGAAGUUUCUUAACACAAAGUUAUCUCCCAACCAUUGUAUUUCCUUAUAUUGUCCCCAUAAUCGUCGCCUUACUUGGUAAUCCCCGCAAUACAAGAUUGAACUAGGGAAAAGUUCACCGUUAGAAGCCUCUGAUCCAAUAAUUUUACGAAUCAACAAGCUAGCUAGCCGUUGUUGGUUCUUCGUUACCGAUUCCGAAGACUUCUUCUCCCUCAGAGCUUCAACAAGGUUCCAUCGAUCUUCCCUCCACGCACUUUCGAACCGGCUACAAAUCUCUCGAGGGAUUAAGUACUGAUUUCCGAAUCGAAACUGGAAGAGCUUCGGAUCGUUCCACUCGGCGUCGUACUUCCUCGUGAGAGUGACUCUCCUCCUUUGAAUCUCAUACUGGUCGAGCCCUGCGAUCUCUCCGGCCAUCUCAAUGGCCUCAAUGAAGGCCGGAAAGUGGCAAAGCAAAUUGUGAAUGUGAAGCUCAACAGAGUCCUUGUUUUGAUGGAGGUUUAUUGCCUUAACCCACCAGUCCUUCUUGUCCAUACAUUGUUUUACAUAUAAUUCACCUUCUUUAAAGAUCUUUUGAAGCUCUCGCAAAGGGUUAUCAAUGGGACUCCAUUUUAUGUUCUUUUCUUCGAUUUUCAGGUUCAACCUUAUUUCUUCGGCUAUUACAUUGAAAGCCAAACAAAAUAUAUCAAACAACAAGCAACAUUGUCGUCGAUUGACUUGAAACUCGCCUUGUAAAACCAUAAGAGUUCUUAGACUUCCCAAAACCUCACCAAUUUGUCUGAAUUCCUCCAUUGUUAUAAAAAAAAGUUUGAAACACACAAAUGAAGACAACCCCAAGAAAUGUCACAAAUGGUGCUGCCAACUUCUGGAGAUUAAAUACCAGAAUCAAACAGCCCCAAAUCUCUUCUUAUCUACAAACAUCAUUUUAUAAAACAAAAUAGUUAGAUUCUUGUCAUUAAGAAACAUUAAUGAAACACAUAAUUGGUUUGAAAAUGAGAAGAGAAGAAUAAAUGUUAUAACUUUAUAAAAAAUACAAACUUGUAAUUGACAAAUUUCUAUUUCCAACACCAAUCCAAUUCAGACAAUGGAUCCUUUGGGAUCCUUACAAGUUGGAUUUUAUUUAUGAAAAAACUUCAUCUUUAUCCCCUAGAAAAGAAUGCAAACAAAACAAUUAAUAAUGAAAACCAAAACAGACAAAAAGAAAAUAGAAAACGAAAAUGAUAAGAGAGUUGACCGUUUCAACCAUCCAUCUGUUAAACAGCACCUAACUGAAACGAAGAACCUUGAAUCCAGAUUUUUUUGUUUUCGUAAGCUUAAUUUCAUUUUUUUGGAACUUUAGAAAAAUAAAAUCUUCAGGUAAAAACUAAAAACAGAAACCAUCAAAGCAAAACGAACCAAAAAAAAAAACAAUAACUGAAGAUCAAAAGAGAACACAACAAAAAAACUUAUCAACUUUGAAGUUAUUCAGGAUUAACUAAGCAGGUUCAAGGUUUGGUUUUCUCUUUCUUUUUCUCAAAAAACUUUAAACAAGUCCCCGAUUUCUUUGCUGUCUUUGUAUAAAUGUGUUCCCGCGAUUUUCGUCCUUUUUUUAAUAUAUAAAAUUGUUAUUGUUUCAACGCUCUGACCGCUGCAUUGUCGCAAAAAUGUCUUUGAAAUGGCGUCGUUUAGUUCGUAUUCAGAUUCACACCAUCUGGUUGUUGCUUCUUAAAUUUAGUAAUGCAUUAUUAGUGUAUUCUUUUUCUCAUAUAUUUACGUAAUAAAAAAAUUACGUCAGAAAAUAUAAUUCGAGCUAAAGGUGCUCAUGGGUCGGGCCGAGUCUAAGCAUGAUAUUAACAUAUUUUAUACUUGUCCAAGUUUAGCCCGAUCUAAAAUUUAGGCCUAAAAUUUUACCCAAUUUUACCUAUAUUUGCAAAAGAUUAACUCAAACUCAUUUUAGGUUCGCUCAUAUUAUUUUUAUCUUAUUUUAAUAUUUAAUAAUUUUAUACAUUUUUUAUUUAUUAAAUUUUUUUAUAGUCAUCUUAACAUUAUUUUAAUGUUUACAUUAGAGUAGCAUUAUAUAAUUAAUAUAGAUUUGUUUUUUUAUGUAUUCUAAAUUACAUAAUAUAUAAAAAUAACAUAAUAUAAAGAAUUAUAAACUUUAAAUGGGUCAAGCCAAUUUGGGCUUAAGCCUUGAAUAUUCAAGCCUGAGCUCAAGUCGUAUUUUAAAAUGGGCCUAAUUUUUUUUCAAACUCUCCCAAAUUUUAGGCGGAUAACCCGGCCCAUAAACAAGUCUAAUCCGAACUUAAGUUUUAACAAUCAAAAUUCGAGCCCAACUCACCCCAUCUUACUUUUUAGUUUAUAACAUGUAUAUUUUUAUGUGUGUGCAAUUUAUAAUAUAUACUUAAAUAUAUGAUACUAUAAUAUAAAUAAUAAAAAAAUUGAAUUUUAAGAUUCCAAAUACGAGUUUAUUUGAAAUAAAAGCAUGUGUUCUUCUCAAAAUUUAUUUUUAUUAAUUUGAAAGAGUGAUUUGUGAAAUUAAUUAUUCAAUUAAUUUUGAUUUUAUUGAAAAUGUUAUAACAUCAAAAAGAGAAGAAAUAAUCAUAGUAAACAAAUAAUAAUUGAAUCAUGUCAUGGAUAUCAAUCACAAUAAGGAAUUAUAUGAUUUAACAUUUUUUAGAUAUAACGAUUCUUUUAAAAUUCGUGACUAUAUUUAUUAAUUUUAGGUGCAACAUUUGCUGGUGAUUAUAUUUAUAAUGAUAACAUAAAAAACAACACGGUUGGAUAAUCGCAAAUGAAAAUGCUUGCCCUCCCAAACAUGCCGUAACUUGGGUUCUACCACACAAAUUAUCGCCUAUUUUUUCCUUUACGAAGUUAUCAUUUCCAUCGGUUUUGUCUCCCCACCUCUACUGCUCCACAUCAAACAAUGUCCGAUAACUUCUCGCCCUUUCGUCGUCCACAUCAUUAGCUCUGUCGUUUCGUGGUUUCAAGCAAAUUUUGCUUCUUUCUCCCCUGCAACAGUUUUUUUGUUCAAUGUUCUUUCUCUCUCUGCGACUGAGAGAUUAUAUUAAGCCAUUGUGGGAGUGCCUUUGAGGAAAAGCUAAAAUGGCAGUGCCCGAGGGUUCUUUCGCGACUGCUUUCGUAGCUCUUGUUUUCACUAUGAUUGCGUUACCGGCUGCUGUUGAGGCCCAGCCCUUCCCCGCCGCUACCCUCACAAGUGACGGCUUGCUCUUUCUCGCACUCUCUCUCGCUAUUAGUCUCUCUUUCUUUCUACAUGUUUAAGAUGAAAACGCCAUUUGAUUUCAUUUGUUAAUAUUUGAGCUUUUGAUGAGGGUGGCAAAAGCCGAACAUGAGCGUCGGUUGACCAAUGGUUUGCAUACGCAUAUAUGCCGCCGGGGCCGGUGUUGACCUACAUUGUUCACCAUCUGCUGAUUUCUGCUUCAGCUUUCGCGAUUUUUUUUCCUCUUUUUCCUUAAAAGGUUUGUCAAAGUAAGAAGAAUUAUUGUUCAACCAUGGCUCGUUUCAUUGAGCUUUGAAUGGAUGUAGUUAGAGUUAGACGAAUUAAUGUGAGUUUUGCUCUUUUUGUAGAUUUUGAUCAUGUAUGUUUCGUGGUCUCUUUGUUUCUUUCUUUUUGUCUAUAAAGCAUUAAAUCUUCCAUUUCUGCCUCAGUUUCCAUCAUGUCUUUGGUGGGGGUUUUCUCGUUUGUCUCACCGAACUUGAGUGACGGUUAACGCGGUGAGUAUGAGGAGAGUCGUAGAAGAGAGUUUAUAUAUGUGUUUGGUUAGGGUAGAAAUGUAUAAGGAGAAGAAUCCCUUCUCUCCAAGCUUAGAUUUUGGUAUGUAUGUGGCGCAGGUCUCGUCAUGGUAGCCAAUCAAGAGGCAUAAUAGUAGUCUAGGUAGGAUAUGAUGGGACAAAAGCAGAUUAGAUAAGGGAGAACUGAAUAGCUACUCUUGACGAAGUAAAUUGAAAGAGCUCCAUGUGUCGUGCAUACGUGUUUUAAUGAAGCCAAGUUCUGGUGAGGUGCUGUUCUGGAUGAGGUUACGACAUAAUAAAGUAACGGUAGUAAAACCUGGACACGCGAGGUACCUAUAACAAAUUAUAAAUAAUUUGAUUAAAUCUACCAAUUACAUGUUAAUUUUGGAAAGCUUGAUAAAAGAAUAAUCUUAAGCUUGAUUAAAUCUAUAUUUGCAAACUAGGGGCAAAACUGUUGUGAGGGCCGGACUCCUUAAAAUAAUUUUUUAUUUAAAUUCUUUUAAAAAUUUAAAUUAAUAAAAGGAAAAUUAUAUUCUAAUUCCCUUAAAAAUAUAAUAAUUUAAUUUAAUUUUUAAAAAAUUAUAAAUAUAUAAAUUAUUAAAAUCAUAAAAUUAUAUUUUUCACUAUCAUAAAAAUUUAUUAUUCUACUUCUUAAAAAAAUUUUAAUUUCCCCCAAUUGCGACAAACUUGUUCCGUCAAAACCAUAAUAAUUUACAUUCUUUGUUUCUGGUAUGCAAACUUGCAAAGCCACCUCCGCAUAUCUAAUUUUGUCCUAUUUUCCUUUUGGAUUGCUAUCUCAAUCAACAAAUAAAAAAAAUUUAAAAUAUAAAUUAAAUAUAAUUUUUUAUAUUGAACAUAGAAUUAGUUAAUAAAAAUAUAUCUGUAGUAUAAAAUGUUAAAUAUUUAAAUGGUGUCGCCUAUAAAAAUAGUUUUAAUAAAUAUAUAUUUAAUAUAAAAUCAUAUACAGUAGCAUAUAAAUAUUUUUAAACUUGAUAAAUUUAUAUUUUAAGUAUAAAACUUAUAACUUUAAGAGUAACCUAUCAAAAUAGUUAUUUUUGUUUGUCUUUACAUUUUAGUCAUUUAUGUUUGAAAUGUUACAUUUUAGUCACUUACAUUAUUAUAUUGUAACAUUUUAGUCACUGAGCGUUAAUUGUUGUUAACGGUGUAACGGUAAGCUAACGUGGCACGAUAAAUCAUCAUUUCAAAUAAAAAUUUUAGAUUAAAUUAUACAAUUGGUCCCUAUAUUAUUUUCAUUUUGAGUAAUUUAAUUGUUUUCUUUUAUAUUCUUUUAACUUUCCCCCUUUUUUUCAUUCUCUUCUUUUUCUUUUGUUUUCCUCCUUUCUUCAUUUCUUUUAAUGUAGUUUUUUCAUGUUUUCCAUUUGUUAAAACUUUUUUAUGCGGACCAAAACAAAAAAAAUAAGGAUCAAUUGUAUAAUUUAGCCACAUCAGCUUACCAUUACACCAUUAAUGACAAUUAACGGGUCAGUGACUAAAAUAUAACAACAUGUUAAUGUAAGUGGCUAAAACAUAACCUGGAGUAAACAAAAGUGAUUGUUUUAAUAGUUUACCCAUGAUCUAAUUAUGUUUAUUAUGAAUACCUUGUCAAGCCUCGUUAAUCUUUGUUAAGGAAAUGUGUUAGGUUAUUAUUUGUAUGGAUCACAUGUUUGACAUAUUAACUUCAUGUUAAUCGCAACUCCGUCUAUUCAAAGGAUUAUCAUACUCAUUGAGCAACCAACAUAACAAGAUUGAUGUAAGUCGAAGCCCAAAAAAUAUCACCUCACCUAUAAAUACAUGUCUCUGGUUUAUGAAUUUUUUUAUUCAUCUUUCUCUUCCUUUUUUCACGACUCUUAAUGUUUUGCUACCAUAUAAACCACUAUCACACAUCUCUUCCAUUUUUUUUUUUUGAAAAACAAAAAUAGAUAUUAUAUUAACUUAAUUGCCUAAAAGUAUCACUCGCUUUAUCUUAUUGUAAGAUCUCAAUCGAGAUCACAUCAAAGACUUGUAAGCUUGACUUUCAUGUUAGGUUAAGUUUAACUAACCGGUCCUCAACAAUUUUGUGUUCUCUAGGCACAUAUUUAAUUUGUCAUUGGCCUUCAAUUUUCAUAAUUCGACAAAGCCUUUUAAGUAAGGUAAUAAUUGAAUCUUCCAAAUCAAUAUCGGUUAAAGCCUGGACCACAUCGUCUGAAUUCUUGUCUGUCUAAAUACUAUAUAGAGCAGAAGAAUGAAAGGUGAUUAUUGGGGAUUAAUAAAUUCCAAGUCUCAAUCAAAUUGGAUGAUAUUGUGUGGUGUACAGAGUGAUUGAAACUUCAAAACCUGAAACCUAAGUCUAGAUUCAACUUACAAUAUUUUAAAAAAAAAAAAAAGAUAAUUGAAAAUUCAACGCUGGGGGACUAAAGGAGGGCCAUUAAUAUAAAUAUCAAGUUACUAAAAAGGAUUGAUGAGUGUUGGUCAAGGUAUGUCUAGUUCUUCUCAAAAACAGUUCAAUAAUUAAAAUAAUAUUACUUUUUUAAUAAAAAAAUAAUUGUUGAUUCGAAUUAAUUAAAGGAAAAAUAUCAAAAAUUCAUCUUCAAUAUAUACGAUUACAUGUAUUUAAUGAUACUUAUAUAAUUUGUUUUUUUUGUUAAAUCAUCUGAUAACUUCCUUUUUUUUAAAAUUACCCAAUAUAUUUUUUUAAAAGAAAAAGACCUACUCAUUAUAAAAAGUAAAAACCCUAUAUUAACAUAAUUUUUUAUUCUGUAAAUUGUUCUAAAAAAUAUUUUUUUUUAAAAUUCACCCAUUUUCAAGUAUUUGUAAUUAGUUCAAUAUUACUGUAUAAAUUUAUACAAUAACAACAAAUUAAAUUUUUACCAAAUUAACUAUAAAAAUAUUAAUUAAAGUUAAAAGAUUUUUAUAUAGUUUUUAAAAGUAUAAAAUUAGAUGUCAUUUCAUUAUAUUAACAAUUGUAAAAUAGUUUUGGAAACCGAAAUGUUGUUUGUUUAGUACUAGAACACGUGCCUUUACAUAAAAGGAACAUAGAAGACAAAGCAUACAACACGUAGCCAAACACGCCCGUCAUCGUUCCAUUGACGGGAGAAGUUUAACAUUCAAACUCUUACUAAUUAAUAAUAAUUAAUAUCAAAUAAUAAUCUUAUAGCAUUAUAGCAACAAUAAAAAAAAGAAAUCUUAAACAGAGGGAAAAGCAGAUAUUUUCAGUUCCCGCCGAUGCAAAACUUGCCGCAGAAAAACGAAGAAACGGUCAAAUUGCGACGAGAGGAUCCGACCCGAACAAAUCCCCGAUAUCUUGGAAAUGAUCAUCGACACGUUGCCACCUCGAGAAGCCACCUAAUCCGAACUCGAAAUCACCCCCUGAACUCAAAAACCCGUUACUGAAAUCAUCUUUCAGGAAACAAUCGUGAAAACUCGUAUUAUCAUCGAACAAUUCCGGCACUGAGCUAAAUAUAUCACUCGGAAACAAGGAUGAUUGAUCGGAAAAUUCUGAGAAUUUUUCACCCGAUGUGAAGCAAGAGUCGUCAACAACAGCUCCAGGUUCGCUCCUCAACUCUCGGGAUUCCUUGACGCUUUGUGAGUCGCCUUCGUCGGCGGAAAGCGACAGGCAACGGAGAACGGAAGUCGGAGAGCAAAGGUUUGUGUUGUGAGAUUCUUCGCCGGAGUGGUAAUCAGAGCUGGAUAACGGUUUUUGGCUGUUUUUGUUUUGAAGCUUGGGAUUUGAAAAGUUAGUGAGCGCGUCUGGUCCACGCAGUUUAAUAGCUGCGUUGUCGUACACCAUUGCUGCUUCUUCGGCGGUAUCAUAGGUACCUAACCAUAACCGUACACGUCUUAGCGGGUCCCUGAUCUCAGCCGCCCAUUUGCCCCAAGGCCGUUGCCUAACUCCUCUGAACUUCUUAUCAGCCGGUGCUUUCAUCGUCGCUUUAACUUUCAUCGCCGGCCUCUUUCGUGAACUCUUUGACAACGACGUUUUACUCCUGGAAACUCUGCCGUUUUGGGCUGGACAUAAUGUUGACUCGAUAGUUAUCUCGUUAACGUAUUUCUUCACUCUGUUUCGACAACGAAGUUGGCUUGCAUGUUCUUCGUAGUCGCCGUCUUCAUCACCGGAUGAAUCAGUGGCGUCAGCAUCUGUAACUAAAAUCCGAACAAUUCGACGCUUCAUUUCUGGCUGCUUUACGAGACUGACAUCUAAGAGUGGUGAAAGGAGCUUGGUUUGAUAACGGUGCUCAGUGUAUUUGAUGGAAUGAACAGGGGAAUGAUCCAUUUUUCUCUUGGGUUUCGGAUUCUCUGGGUUUUUCAGAUUCUUUCAAAUCUUCUCAUUAAGAUCGAGAGUGAAGUAAGGAGUGAAUUAAGAAAGAAGAGGCAAAGAAGAGAUUCCUUUUGAGACCGGACACGAGGAGAAUAAAGGUUUGGAAAAAGAAAGAACACGUUAAAAGAUAAACUUGAAAAAUGAAAAGAAAUCCACCAGUAAUCCCUUAAAAAGGGUCACUCAAAAGUCUAUCGAAGUAGGAGAAAUUUCAAGGAAAGUCAUCCCAAACAAGCAGUACCCAAAGCAGCCAAAUAGUUGAAAAAGAGUUGACCCCAGUAAAGAAAAGGGAGAUACCCAAAAAAAUAAUAAUAGCCUUGCCAGAAGAUGAAUAGAGAGAAUAAAUAUCGCAAAAAACCACCAGAACACUUUCUUCACUCAGUUAAUGGAGCACGUAUUUGUUAUUUUGGGUAACUUUCGAAUCCAGGUCUAAUAAGAAACUCAGAAUCCAAGUUCCUUUCUGAUGAUACUUUUUCCACACACACACACACAAAAAAAACCUAAAGGAAAAAGUUGCUCCUAUAUAUCAAAGACUCCAAAGAGAAAUGAUGAGAGAAUAAAGAAGAGUUCUUUUUGAGAUAAGGAAUGAAAUAGGAAUUUUGUUUGAAGUGUAAAUGGAAAGUUUAGCUAUUUUAUAGGGAUUUUUACUAAAAUAUUACAAAAAAAAAACUAAAAUAAUAUAUAUAUUUUUAUUUAUUAAAAUAAUACAAAAAAAAGGUUAAAAAAAAUAUGUCUGAAGGAGGAGCUGCCACAUGCCAUUUGUUCGUAUUUUUUUCAGAUUUUAUUAUUUUUAAAAAAUAUAAUAUUUUCUAAUUUUAUUAUUUUACAUUAUUUUAGUACAUUAUGUUUUAAAUGCAUUCAUUUAGUGUGUUUUUUUAAAUAAAUUUAAAAAAAUCUUAUUUCGGCCCUUUGUUCGUAUUUUUUUACCGGAUUUUAUUACUUUCAAUAAAAAACACACUAAAUGAAUACAUUUCAAACAUAAUGUACUAAAAUAAUGUUAAAUUAUAAAACUAAAAAAUAGUAUUUUUUUAAGUAAUAAAAUCUGAAAAAAAAAUACGAACAAAUGGCUGAAAUACGAAAGCCCGUUAUUGGUUCUCCCGGUUGAACUAAGUGCCAAAUAUAUAUAUAUUUUUUUCAGAUAUAAAAAGAAAUUAAAAGCAAAAAUUAAGCAUUCACCGGAGACCAAGAGUCUGGCCAAAAAAAAAAAAAAAGGACAGCGAGAGGGUGAGUUAUAUCGGGGAAUUCAACGUUCCGGCCACAGGGUAUUUAACGAGGCGCCGCAUAAGAUGGGGAAAUUGAGACAUCGACACGUGGAAAUGUGGUCCCGAGAAAACAGAAUGAAGCAAGGGGAAAGGGUGAAUGAAACGGGUCAAUGGCGAAUCGGUUCGGGUCGGGCAGAACUUUCAUCUCGAAAACAGGCAUUGACGUCACGUGACACUGGGCAUUCAGGUCAGUCCUCUAUCUUUGACUAAUGGAAUAUUAACACCACCACUAGCUACUGAUUAUUAAAUUACCUCCUACAUUCCAAAUGUAACUAUCAACUGCAGACUCCACCAAUUCUCCCUAAAGUUUAUUUAAAAUUAUAUUUUCAUCCCUCAAUUUUAAAAAAUACGUAAUAAUAAUUAAUAUUAUUUAUAUUGUUAAAUUUUUAUCACUCGAUUGUUAAGUUCCGUUAAAAAAAUAAGGUUAUAUACCUUAAUUUAAAAGGUUAAUAGUUAAUUUGGUCCUUGAACCAUAGUUAAAACUUUGUUUUAAUAUUUUAAAUUUUUUCUUAAUAAUAAUUAUAAAUGAAAUUUAAAAUAUAUUAAAAAUUCAUAUAAAAUCAAUUUCAACAAGGAAAAAUCAAUAAUUUUGUAACCAAUUUUUCCAUAUCAAAUCUCAUAAAAAACCAAUUUUGUAACCCAUUUACUUUUAUGUUUUACACUCUCUUCAUUUUCAUCUUUUUUGCCUUUUUUUUAUUUCUCUUUUUCUUUCAUAUCAAUGUUUAAAAAUAAAAUAUGCAUGUUUAAUUGCGGUUAAAUUUUGUUAUUAGUCCCUAUACUUAAAAAAAGUUAUGGGUUUAGUCCCUAUACUUUCAUUUGAUCAGUUUUAAUCCUUGUACUUUUCGAAUAGGUAAAUUUUAGUCCAUAAACUUUUCAAAAUUUGAAAUUCUGAUCUUGGCCCAACCAGUAGCAAUUAAACUCGUUUGGUUAAAUUCAAUUACUAGUCUUGCACUAUGCGCUCAGUUGUAGAUUUAAUCCAUUUUCUCCAAUUGAAUCAUUCUAAUUCCUAUGCUUUUUGAAUUUUGAAAUUCUAGUCUUAACACAAAUGACAGUCGGUAAUUAAUUGAUUCUUAGUAAGUAAUAUAUGAAAAUAAUAAGCUAGCAUCACAUUGCACAUAUGAUAGUAUAUUUGGCGCAUCAAAUUUUGGACAUACCUAAACUUCACUUAAUGAAAUUAAUAAUUAUUAUUUGGUGAGCACUGAUAUUUAAAAUUUUUGAAAAUUACAAUGACUAAAAAUGACCAAAUAAAUUUCACCCAAAAAAAUGACCAAAUAAAAGUACAAGGAUUAUAUCCACAACUUUUGCUUAGUACCGAGACUAAUUGCAGAAUUUAUCAUUUUUAUUUAUAGCUAAAGGUAAAACAUUGACUUGAAUUUUGAGGAAGAAAUGGUGGGUUUAGUGAAAAAUAAAAAGAGCACUUUGUAUUAUAAAUUUAAAAAAUUUAAAAUUUAAAAAAUGAAGGAUACCCAAAAGCUCAAUCAAUCUAGUAAUUGAGUUACACAAAAAAAAAUAACGAGUUUAGAAAAGAAAUAAGGUACUUUGUAUUAUAAAUUAAAUGAAAAUAAAUCUCAAAAUUCAAAAAAUUGAAACUUACCAAACAACCUAAACAAUAUAAUAGAACAUAUUGAUGUUCUCUCUUGCCUCUUAUUUCUUAAUUUUGUUCUCAUUUUUUCAUAAUUAUUAUGAAAAUAUUGCAUAUAGGUUAUUGAUAGUAGAAGUUCUUAUGAUUCUCAAUAAUGAAAGCACUGCCGCAAUUCUAGAUUUUGCUUCUUGAAAACUCGAGUAACAACAAUCAAUCUAAUAGUGGAAUCAUAAUCUUGCUUUGAGAUGUAUUUUUCUAGGGCUUUGUGAAAAAUUAAAACAAAAUAAAAUUUUCAAGACAAUUUCUAGGUAAAACAACACGAAGUCGUUGAUGUGAUUUAAGGUGUUCAUCAACGUUGGAAAACAAAUGGAAUUUAAUUUUAAAUUUUUUUGUGAAAGUACAAAGACUGUGGCUUUUGACGAGAUUGGUUAAGAAAACUUAGUUGCAAAUUUUUUUAUUUUUCUUUGCUACAAUUGAUUUUUAUAGAAUUUUUGUAUUUAUUUUAAGGUUUUCUAUUUUUUGUAAUUAUUGUUAAGAAAAAAUUUAAAAUAUCAAAAUGAAUUUUUAGCUAUAACUCAGGGACGAAAUUAUCUAUGAAUCCUUUGAAAUUAAGGUGAGACAUUAAUAAUAUUAGUCACAUUACGUAAUUUUUGAAAGUUGGAUAACCAAUAUAUAAAUAUAAACAAAAUUUAAGGAUAAUUGAUGUAGUUUGCCCUUUUUUUAAUAUUCAAACAUUGAUAAAAAAAAUCCACUUGAUGCUUAAUUUGACCUCUAAACUUCUUUUUUUCAUUUAAGUACCUAAUUUCUUUGUUUUGAUAUCUAAACUAUUUUUCAUUACCCAAAUUAGUACACCUGUUAAAAAAAGAAGAAAAAAAAAAGACUGAAACAUGGGGCUAUUAGAUUGCGCCACCUUAGUCUUAUUUUACUUUUUAAUAUUAUAUAUUAUAUUAAUUAAAAAAGAUAAAAAAUACAUAAUAUAUAAAUAAUUUUAAAAAGUAUUUAAAAAUAAAAUUUUAUAAAAAUCGAAAAUAAAUAUAAAUUUAAAAAAGUGAUAAUAAUAUAUAAAAAUUGAAAAUUUUAUAAAAAUAAAAAAUAGUAUUUAAAUUUUAGAAACUUAAAAAAACUUAAAACUUUCAAAAAAUAUAUUUAGGAAAGUUUAAUAAAUUUUAAUUUUUCCCAAAAUUCUAAAAAUUCAAAACAACGAAUAAAAAUUCAAAAAAUAAAUAAAGUUUAACUUUAAAAAAUGUACUGAUUGAAUCCUUUAAAUACAUAAUUCUAAAUUUUGAAAUACUUUUAAAAAAAAUCCCCAACUGGUUGCAGGCGGGUGAAUCUUAAAUUGAUCAAGAAAUCCACUUAUAGACCAAUCCAUUUAAAUAAAUAAUAAAACAAUAAAUUUUAAAAUAUGAAAAUACAAUAAUAAAUAACAUGAUAAAACAAUUCAUACAGAUACAAAAAUGUUAAAUAUGUACUUAAAUUUGACAAUUUUUUUUAAUGUGGUAUUUGUGUUAUUUUCUGAUCUAAUGUAAUACAUGUAUUUGACAAAAGUUACAGCUUUUGUACUUGAAGCUAACAAUGUUAAUUUUUUUUUAGUAUUCAAUUCGAGCUUUUGAGCUAAUUUGAUGAAAAUUUAUAAAUAGAUAAUAAUAUUAGAAAUUAACUUUCAUCAAAUCGACCCUAAAACCAAAAUUAAAACACUUCCAUUAAACAAAAUAAAUGCAAAAUUAAACAAAUUCACAAUUGACACUAAAUCUAUUCUAUUAAUAAAAUCAUGAAAAAAAAUUCAAAUAUAAUAAUAUUAGCAAUUAAAUUUUAUCAAAUUAAUCGUAAACAUAAAUUGAAACAAAAAAAAAUUAACACUAUUACCUUUAAGUAUUAAAAUAUAUAAUUUUCACAAAUAAAAGCAUUAUAAAAAUGUAUCAAAUUCGAGUACUAAUCCAUAAAAAAUACAAAAUUAAACACAUUCCACUCUUUAUGUUCACAAAACAAAAUGAAUUUCUUUUUUAACAAAAUCGUUUAUUUAUUUUUAUAAAUUUUGUACAAUGUUUAUAGGAUGUUAAGUGACCAGUCUUUAAUUUUGCGAUAAAUGAGCAGACCAUGCAUUUAAUUUAAGCUACUACAGUACUUGGGUUUUUGGACUGCCCUGCCCUGCGUGCCCAGUCCCACAUGCUUCCAUCAAUUUGUCCUUUCCUUCCCACUUGCAAAUCGCGAAUCAUAAUGUUUAUUCAUCAUUUAUAUUAUAUAAAUUUUGAAAUCUUAUUCAAAACUAUACUCUAAUUGGGUUGGUAGAGUUUUACUCUUUUUUUUUUUUAAGUAUUUUCCUUUAUUCCUUUAUAUAACUUUUUUAAUGUAUCACAUGCUUAAAUUUAGGUGGAGCAAAAAAAUUUUUUUAGGGGUCGAAAUUAAAUUAUUAUUUUUAUUAUAAUAAAUAUUUAAUUUUAUUAUUUUAAUAAUCUAUAUUUUUAUAAUUUUUAAAUAAUUAAAUCAAAUUUUAAAAAUUUUAAAGGGUCUAAAUGAAAAUUUUUCCAUUUGAGGAGGGUCGAGCCCCUGCCAACCCCCCUUAGCUACGCCAUUGCUUAAAUUGUUUUAGUUUUGAAUCUAGGCAUAAUGAUUUAUUUGUCCCUCUAACUUUACAAAAGAAAAAGCUUUUUAUUUAAUUUUUCGUCCUUUUCAGCUAUUAAACUUGUGUUGUUUGUUAAAUUACCUAAAAAUAAAUAGAAAAAUUAAUAUUUUUUAAAUUUGCCAGCAUGACAUACAUGUGGAUUGCUACGUAAACGUCACGUCAAUAAUUAAUUACUUUUUUAAAAUUUAAAAAAUUUAAAAAUAUAUAAAAUUAUUUAAAAUAUUUAAAAAAUGUUUGGCAUUAUUUAAAAAGUAUAAAAAUUAUUAAUACAUAUUUUUUAAUUUUAAAAAAUAAUUACUAACGUGGCAUAAAUGACAAUUUAUAUGUAUGUCACGUCAACAAAGUUAAUAAAUAUUAAUUUUUAUCAAUUUUGAGGUGAUUUGAUAAAUAAUAUAAAUUCAAUAACUAUAAAAAACGAAAAAUGAAUAAAUGACUUUUUUUUUUUUGCAAAGUUUAGUUAUUAUACCUUAAAUUUAGUUAUGUUGGUUCUACUAUUAAGGGCCAGUUCUUCAUUGCUUAAAAAAGUACUUCUGACCCCAAAAGCACUUUUAAAAGAAAAGCUGUAAAGAACAAUCUACUUUUGGCUAAAAUUUUUAGCUUUUCAGAAGUGUUUUUGAAAAGCACUUCUGAAAAGGAGCUGAAAAGGAGAAGCUAAAAAUUUUAGCUUUUCCUCUCUAACACUUUUGGUGCUUAAUUACUUUUUCACCCUUCCAAUAACAUAGUAUUUUUCUUUUUUUUCUUGGUGCUUGAUUACAAUUGUGUUAAAAUCAUUAAUUAAAAAUAAAAAAAUAUUUUUUAAAAUACUAAUUACAAAUAUUUAAUGGUUAUAUUUAAAUAUUUAAAAUAUAGUUUAUAUAUUCUAAUUAAAUUUUAUAAAUAAUUAAUAUUUAUUGUUUAAAAAAUUUAAAAUUUAUAUUUCAUAUAUUAAAAUAUUAACAACAAGUUAUAAUAAUUUUUUUAUAUUCUUACUAAAAUAUAAUAAUAUUAACUAAUUUAAAUAUUAUUUAAAUGCAUAUUUGUUACUUAAUAAUAACAUGUCUAAAAUGGACAUUUUAUUUCUCAAAAGCACUUUUUGACAGCAAUGCUAAUCACUCAAAUUUUAAACCAAAUUUUUCAAAAGCACUUCUCAAAAGCACUUUUCAAAAGUAAUGAAGAACUGUCCCUAAGUGUAACCUAAAUCACGGCAAUAUUUUUCGUGUGAAAAAGAAAAGGUAAAAGGACAAUUGGAUUUUAGUUAGAGACGGAGCCCUUUAACUUUAAAAGUUUUAAAUAUCGAAUUAGUAUUAAUUAAAAUUUUAAUUCUUUAACCAUUAACUGAAUCGAAAUUUUUAAAAAAAAUAACCGAAUCGAAAUAUUUCAGUUAAUUCGAUCGGUUAACCGAAAUUUAUAUGUUUUUUUUUUGUAGUAUAAAACAUAUCAAAAAAAUAAUUUGAUAAUGUUCAUUUGACCGAAUUAAUCAAGUUAAAACUACAUAUAAUUUGUAUUAUUGAUUAUUAAGUUCAGUUAAUUAUCCAAUUUUAAACUAAAUUAACUGAUAAUCGAACUUCCAAAAAAUUAUUAAUUGAUCUCUAACUGAAUUAAAUUAAUUAACUGAUUGAUUAACUAAAUUAAAUCAAUUCAGUCGAUUAAUUCGAUUUUUCUAGGCAUAAAAUCAAUGCUAGAAAAACGAACAUAUUUUUUGCUAAAGGUGUGGACGCGACAGUGGCGGACUCGAUUAGUUAUUUGUUUGGAUUUCAGAAAGUCCAGAAUCUUGAUCAUUACCUUGGUGUUCCUCUUUUUCAUCAGAGGGUGACUAAUGGUACUAUGCAUUUCAUUGUUGAAAAAGUGAGAGGAAAGCUCCAAAGCUGGGACGCUAAAAGAUUAUCCAUUGCUUGCCGCAAUAUUUUGGCCCAGUCAGUUCUCAUGUCUAUUCCUAGCUACUUUAUGCAGUCCAUGAUAGUCUCUAGGAGAGAGUUUGCGAUGAAAUUGAGAGCUUGGUGAAACAGUUCAUUUGGUGUUCUUUUGAGCUUAAAAAGAAAAUGUCUCUGGUUGGGUGAGAUUCCAUUUGUCAACCUAAAUGUUGUGGUGGUCUUGGUUUACGGAAACUGCGAGACUAGAAUAUCCCGUUUUUGCUAAAACUGAGGGAUUCCAUUUGAAUAUGUAUAUCUAUUUAGAAUUUUAAAUAUGCUUAUUAUCUAUAAAUUAUCUAAGUAUCACUAUCCAAAUCUGAAUUAAUACUAUUAUUAAUUGUAUAUCUAAAUUCGUAAAAAAGAAUCAAUUACAAAUUUUUUAGCAAUUUUCUGGAUAUCCAAAUACACAAACAUUUGAAUUCGAAUUCGCUAAAAUUCUUGUAUAUAAAAUCAAAAUUAUUUUUAACGGGUGAAUUCAAAUAUACGAAUUUGAAUUUACUUAUGCUAUCUGAAUAAACCAUGUAGAUCCAAAUAACAUAUAUUUAGGGUAUUGUUCCGCAACGGAUAAUAAUUCUAAAAUCUGAAUUUGAAAACUGUUAUAAUACACAAUAUCUGAAUCUGCAAUCUAAAUUGCCUUAUAGACAAUGUUUAAGGCACCUUAAGUUUUCAUGCUUGAUUUUUAGGGUUUUUUUAUUCAUUAUUUCAAUAAAAUAUACUUAAAGAAAUAUUGAAUGGCAUAAUGAUUUAUUUGGCUCUCCACUUUAUAAAAAAAAAUUUUAACCCUCCAUUUAUUUUUUACAUUUUUUAGCCCUUAAACUUGUAUUUUUUUUGUCAAAUCACCCAAAAAUGAAUGGAAAAAUUAACGACGGUUAACUUUGUUGACGUAUAGUUCACGUGAAUGCCAUGUCAACAGUUAAUUAUUUUUUCAAGAAUAUAAAAAUAUUUAAAACAUAUUUUUAUACCUAUUUUUUGUAAUUUUUAAAUAUUUUGAAUAAAGGUUAAUAAUUUAAAAUAAUUUUUAUAUAUUUUUUAAAUUUUUAAAAAUUAAUUAAUUGCUGAUGUGGCAUGCACGUGUAUUCCAUGUUAGGAAAUUAAACAAAUGCUAAUUUUUUUAUCCAUUUUGGGUGAUUUGACAAAUAACGCAAUUUUAAAGGCUAAAAGAGACGAAAAAUUAAAUGAAGAGCUAAAAUAACUUUUUUUUUUGUAAAUUUAGAGAGCUAAAUUAAUCAUUAUACCACAUCAAAUUUGUUACCACUCAAACAUGUAUCAAUAUUUAUUAUUAUCAUUAUUAUUAUUUUUAACAAUCUCAUAAUAGGCUCUGAUCAUAUCUAUCUUUUGAGACAAUACCUAAAACUACCCAUAAUCCCUCCUCAACCUAUAAAUAGGAGGAUAAUGCACUUCAGCGCACUCAAACCCACGUUCUCCUGCAUUGACAACAAUACCCAUACCAAUCAAACAAAAAUUCAAUCGACCAAAAACCAACAUAUUUAAUUUAACUGAAAAUUAUAAAUGUUGUUAACAAAUAUUUUAAGGUUGAAGGUUUCCUCUAAAAUCAUCCUAUUAGAUAAAUUACUUAUUUCUAAUGCAUUAAAAUUUGUACAACUAACCCUUAGCUAUUUAAUUUAAUAUAAAUAUUAUUGUAAUUAGUAACAAAUCAAUCUUAACAAGCAUUUGAAGAAAAACUCUUUAUCAAUUUUAAAUUUAAUUAUCUUAAAUAAUUUGUAGUUAUUUGUUUAGUGACUUAUAAGAGGAAGAUAAAGUAUUAAGAACAAAAUAAUUAGUACCACUCAAAAUCUAAUUAAAAUAUAGAAUAUAUUUCAUAAUUAUUGAGACACUGUUUAAUUUUUAUUAUGAAAUUUUAUGAUAAAUACAUCAUAUCUAAAUAAUUUAGAAUUAAAUACCACAACUUGGUUGGUUGAUCCCAUUUUUUCCAUUUUUGUCAUCAUAUUGUGUCGGGACAUGGUCUUCCUCUCCUGCUAAUUAGGCGUCUUUCGAUGAUUGCUUGGUGGGUUCUCUCUGUCACAGCUUUAGUAUAGUUUUUUCUCUCUCUGUUCUUAAGUAUAUUGUUUAAAAUUAAUUAAAAUGCUGGAAAAAAAAAUUAAAGGGGACAAUUGUCCAAUACUUUGCCGUUUUGUUUGCAUUUUCAACUUUGGAUUAUCUCUCAACUAUUAGUGUUUAGACAGGCAGAUAGAUAGUAGUGGCAUAACACGGUUUGAUACCUUCCUUGUCUUUUUAAUUAAUCAGUUAUUUAUUUGAAUUUGGUAAUAAUAAGUACCAAAUCUUUGUCUCAUAUCCCAAGAAUUAACGUUUUCGAAAGCGGUUCAUGUCCCAAUUUCAUUACCUUCCAAUUAAUGCCUUUUUGCCGAUUCCUCAAUUUAAUAAUUCAUGCAUUUUGAGAUUGAUGUUGUGGUAUGUAUGUUUUAAAUUUGAGUCACGUUAAUCGUAUUAGUUAUUCGAAUUUUAUCCUAUUAUUUUAAUUCAUCAAAAAAAUAAUAAUUCAUGUAUUUUGGUAAUGAGUGUUGCUGCAAGGGAGAAGACUUUGGACUGCAAAAGCAUAAAAUUAUGACGAUGGGUUUUCUUAUUCAAAGUGAACGAUCUCUUAUCUUAGUGUUGGGAAAAAUAAUUUUACCAUGGUUAUCAACAAGACUUUGAUAUUACCAAAGUUUGAAUUUAUCAUAUGUAUUUACUAUGUAUGAGUUUUUUUCUCAUCAUGGUUUUUGUUCAAUUUCUUUUCAGAUUUUAUCCGACUUUCAAUCCAUAAUGCAAUAUAACGUACCAUUGGAAUUAAUUGUAAUUAUGUUUAAAAUUUUCAAAAAAUGAUUGAUAUGUGGUUACAUGUAGCAAAAGCUACCUUUUCCUAAUGAAGUACCUUUUUCGAAAGGAUAGAAUUGUAUUGCAAACACAAUAUGAUAAUCCUUACAGUGAUGUACUGAUGUCUAUUAUUUAAUUUUUUUAAAAGGUGUUUGCAAUUUUUUAGAAUAUAUGCUAAUGUAUAUUUUUAAAUUUUUUAUAAUUAAUGAAUAAUAAUUAAGUUUACAGAUGAAGCAGAAAAAUGGGCCUGACAGGAAGGGAAAAAAAACCUAAUGGGACCAACUUGGGGAAAAUAUCAUCCAAACUAGUACAUCGAAUUCGACAAAAUGCUCGAAGAGGUCAUGCUCUGUAAACUUUAUAAAACCAUAAUUUUGUUGUUGUUUUAUGAUUCUUAUAUUCUCCAUUACAUUUUAAUAUUACAAAAAAUGAGCUAAGUUUUGCAAAUUGGAAUGCAAUUUGAGCCCACAAAAUUGGAGAAAUUCACAUUCAUUAUGAUUGAUGACCCUUUUAUUAUUUAUUUUUAGGGUAAACUAAAUUAGUAGCAGUUCAAUUACGGGUUUUUUCUUUUCGGGUCACCCAAUUAAGAAGAAUUACAAAAUAGUUAUUUAACUAUUAGUAAAUUUGUUUUGGUCACCCAAUUAUGAAAAGUUACAAAAUGGUCACUCAACUAUUCAAAUUUUUUUUGUCACCCAACUUUCUUGAAUUUUUGGGUGUUUCCAUUUUUAUAUUAGCCAACUAGUGAUAGAAAAGACAAUCAAAUAGUUGAGUGACUAUUUUGUAACUUUUCAUAAUUGAGUGAUCAAAAAAGAAAUUUAUUAAUAAUUGAGUAAUUAUUUUAUAAUUUUUUAUAGUUGGGUGACAAAAAAAAACUUUAUUAUAAUUUACUUUUAUUUUUAAUAUAUUCUAUAAAAGUGUUAUUAUGUAUAUAUAUAUUUAAUUGAACAGGAUAGUCUUAAACUAUGCUCCUUUUUAAGUUAGUCACCUAGCUAAAUUUUUUUUGGUCGAACUUAACACCUAAACUUUUUUCUAUAACCAAAGUUGGUUUUUACUGUUACCUCGUUAAAAAAAAAUUCAGAACUAAUCAUGAAGUGUCAUGUCAUCAUCUCAUUAAAAUCUAAUUAAAUAAAAAAUUUAUAUUAAUAUUACAUAAAAAUAACUAUUUUAUUAUUAAAUAAAAUAAAAAAAAUAUUCCUUCCCCACCCUCGUCCCUCGUCCCUCUUCCACCCUCUCGCUCCCUGGAACUGUGAGCUACCAACGCGCUCACCACCUUUGGAUGCCUAGGUUGAUGAACAUCUCUUUUUCCAUUUUCAGUACGUUAAGAGCAUGCAAUCGGCUUCAGUGUGGUGUGUAACAAAAGAAUAGAGGCGAUACUAGCCGACCAGAUUAAAACAGAGUGAAAACGGAUCGGAAUAGAUGCAUGAGGAGUAUUUGCAAGUGGGUUUAGGUAUCUACCUAGCUCUUGAACUGCAAUUUUGUUGUAGUAGGCAUUAAUAAAUCUUUCAUUUGCAAGUGGUGAGUAGCGUUGGCAGCUCACGGUUCCAGGGAGCGGGAGGGGGGAAAGGGAGGAGGACGGGAUGGGGGAGGGAGAGCGACGGUGGAGGAAUAUAAUUAGUUUUACUUAAUAUUAAUAUAAAAUUUUAAUUUAAUUAGAUUUUAAUGGCGCUUCGUGAUUGGUUCUCUUUUUAAUGAAUGUAAUGUAGCGGUAGGGAACAACGUUGAUUAUGGAAUAAAGUUUACAUGCUCGAUUUAAUCGAAAAAAAAAUUUAAUAUCUAAGUUAGGCUGAGUUUAGAUGGGCGGUGUGUUUACUUGCGGUUAAUGUAAAAACAGCGGUGACGGUGAGAUUAAAUACUGUAGUAAUAUUAUAGCGUGAGACAAAAAGUAAGCUAAACGCCCAUCCAAACCCACCCUUAAACAAAAGGCAUAGUAUAAGGUCUCCUGUUCAAUUAAGCCUUUUAUAUAAUAUAUUGCUUAAUUUAUUAUUUUAAUAUAUUUCAUGUAUUAAUGAUAUAAAAUAUUACUUUAUGCAAAUUUGAUAAAAAUAAAAUAAUUUUAUGUAAGAUGAUAUUAAAAUAUUUAUUUUUAAUUUCAGUCCAUAUUAUCAUGGUUUUAUUUUAUUCAUAUUUAUCGUGAUUUUUGUUUCGUCAGUUGUGUUAUUUUAAAAGCGAAUGUGAUUUUUUAUUUUUAGUCUCUUCUGACAUAUAUGCAAGGUUUGUCAAUAUAAGGGUGUCACCAUAUCUAUUAUGAACCAUUCGUUGAAGGGCUUUAUCUAUCAUUGUAAAUCAUAAUAAUGGUGAUAAAUUUGAAAUGAUGAGGAGGAGGAGGAUAAGCCAUUUGAGAAUCAGUAUUUUGUGCAUCACUAACGUGGUGGAUCUGUUAGAGCUUUUGGUAGUUUUUUCUUAGUUGAUCGGUGUUUAUCAUUAGGUUGAUUAGAUUAUGGCGGAGCUAGGAUGCAAAUUUCAAUGAUUUGAUCAGGUUAAUGCAUCUCUGAUUUGUUUCUAAAUUGUUCCAAUGUUGUAGUUACUGUCAGUCUAUCAUUCUCUUUUCUUUUUUUUUUUUGAGAUUAUUCUGCAAAUAUUGCAUUUGUGUAUUAAUUUAUAGUGAUUUAUUUACUGUUUGUAUUAUGUGUUAUGUUUUCGUAUUAUUAUUGUUCCUGAUUUCUAUUAAUAAUAGUAUUUUCUUUAAAAAAAUAAUUUAUAGACUAUCAAUACAUUAAACAUAAAUUUAAUUUUUCACAUUAUAUUUAGAAUAGUCAUAAGUAUUCACAAAAUUUUAUUAUUUAUACUAUUUUUUUUCUCUGUGCGAUGUACGAGUUAAUUGUAUGUAUUAAUUAAAAUAUAUUAUAUUGAAUUAAUAAAAAUUGUACAAAUUUUGUAACAUUUCAUAAAUAGUAUUAUUGAAAUAUUAAAAAUAAUAUAAAUAUUAAAAUUUUAUAAAUGAUGAUAGUUUAAAUUAUAAUCAAUAUAAAUUAACACAAAAAAUUAAUAUUUAAAAUAAACUUAAAUGUUUUGAUAUUACUCCCAACUAUAAUUUUAGCGUUACUCUUAAAAAAGAAUUAGAAUGUUAUUUAAAAAUAAAAAAAAAUAAUGAUGUAAAUUAAGUUAUUAACAAAAAAAUAGUACAUAAAGAAAAGUUGUAUAAAAAACACACAAUUGGAAACUCCAUUAAUAAAUAAAUCUAUAUUAUUUCAAUAAUAUUUUUAAUAUAUUUCUCAUUUAUUUAUUAAAGAAAAAAAUAUUUGAUAUAUACUGUACAUGAAUGAAUGUGUAAAAUUUAAAAUUUAUGGGCUUGAAGCACAUAUUUAUAUUUUCCAGCAUUGGAUAUUUAAAACCGUAUAUAAGGACUUAAAAAAAAUUAAAACUAGAUUUAUGACUAAAUCAACUAUAACAAAGGUUAUUGACAAUAUGAUUUUGUUAUAUGAAUGAGUAUUUAAUGUUGAUAUAUUUUGAUAAGGAAAUUAAAUUGAAAUAAUAUUCAUUUUAAACUUUAGUUAAUUAAGACAUCUUGCAAAUAAUUAGCGUGACAAAUGACGGUUACUUAACUGUGUCACAUUGGAAUGAUUUCUUUACUUGUAACUUUACAUUGCUAUAGUAUAUUUAGGAGUGAUAUCGGUUCCGUUCGGUUGAGUUUUUUUAUAACUUUUGAACUGUCUAUCAUAGUUUGGUUUGGCUCAAUUUAGUUCUCGGUUUUUUAUAUUUAUUUUAUUUUAUUUUAUUUUUUAAAUUUAUUUUGAUAAAAUAAGCUUUGUUUUAUGAUUUUUUAAUAUUAUUUGAAUUUUUUUAGAAAAAAAAUCUAAAAAAUAAUUUUCAAAAAUUUUUAAAUUAUUUUCACUAUUUUAAAUAUAAAAUAUUUAUUUUUAUAUCAUAAAAAAAAUUAAAAUUAAUUAUAUAUAUAAAAUAAAAUAAAAUAUAAUUCAAUUUCGGAUAACUCCCAUUCAAGUAUUAAAAUAAUUGAAUUACAAAACCCAUUACCUUUAAAUUGAAGUAAUUUUAUAUCUAAUUAUUUUAACAUAUAUAUUAGAUAAAUAUUGUUAGGCUGUGUUUAAUAUUUGCAACCAUUUUAAACCCUACUUCAUUUAAUAUUUUGUUAUGACAUAAUAAAUCUCCAUAAGGAUUUAGUCAAUGAUGAUGGAUGAUCUUUAUAAUCUUCAUUUCAGCCAUGUCAUCAAUAUCUAGCUCUCAUUUAUUCUUUGGCAUAAAUCUUGAGGAAGAGCAUAAUUCAUAUGCAUGGUCAUGGUAUUUGUACCUUCUAAACGGCAGUGUUUUAAGUUGGGAAGUCUAAUAUAUAAUAUAGAGCAUGGAUUAUGUUAUGUUAUUGUUGUAUGUUUUUUCCAUUUAUUGUUUCUUUCAAGUUUGUUACCAAGCAGGUUUCUACAUCUCAUUUAUUAUUGAAGUAUUGAGUGCAAUAAUAAGAUACAUUACAUUCUCAAAAGAAAAUUCAAGUUCAAGUCUUGAAGGUAAUAUAAUUGGCGUGGUAUAAAAUGGAUAUAAGAAAAAAGGGCGUAGUGAUAAAUUUAAGUAGGGCUUUAACCCUUACAUAUAUAUUUCUUUUUCAAUUCAAUUCUCUUAAUUAUAGAGAAAUUAUAAAUUAAUAUAUAGCGCAAUUGCAUUCUGGCUCCCAAAAUGAAAAUUUUCAAUUCAGUCCUGUUAUAGAUAAAAAAUCGUAAAUUAAUAUAUAGUGAAUUUGUACUUUUCCCCUUUAAAAAUGAAAAAAAAAAUUAAUGUUUAGUUCCUUCAAAAUGAUGAAAUUAUAAAUUAAUACAUAAUAUACUUAUAUUUUGAUCUAUGUAAAAAAACAUAAUUAAAUUUUGAUCAUUGCUAAAAAAAAAAUUUGGAUUCAUCCUUGUGAGAGUAGUUAUUAGAUUUGUUCAUGGGUUGGGCUAUCUGCUCAGGCCCGAAAGUCUACUUGAAAUUUAGGAGGGUUUGGGUAAAAAAUUUAGGUUCAUUUAAAAUAUGGGCCGGGUUCGGCCCAUUUUAAGUUUAUAAUAUUUUAUAUUAUGUUAUUUUUAUAUAUUAAGUAAUUUGGAACACAUUAAAAAAUAAACCUAUACUAAAUAUAUAAUACUACUCUAAUGUAAACAUAAAAAUAAUGUUAAGAUAACUAUAUAAAAUAAUUCAAUAAAUAAAAAAAUGUAUAAAAUUAUUAAAGGGAUAAAUCUCAAAACUAUACAUGAAUUUUAAUUUGGUGCAAUUAUAUAUGUGAAACUCUAAUUGUGGUUUAAAUGUAUACUUGAAACUUUAAUUUUGAUUUAAUCAUACACAUUUAAAGAAAUAAAUACAUCAAUUUAUUAUACAGAUAAAUUUGUAUAAAACUGAUUUAAAAGAUAAGGGAAUUAAUUCCUUGACUUGUUUUUUGAUCUUACGAAAUUUGGCCAUCCUUUUGAUUCCUUUUCUUUUUUUCCUUUUUUGGGUGGUUUUGGCUAAAACUGACCUAUGCCUCACAACACCAGUCUUUGAAAACGACGUAGCUUUAGAUUUUUUGAAACUUCACUUUAUUAUACAGGGAUGAGGAUGGGGGAGGACAAAACCUUUUCUUUUUUUUCCUCUCUCUCUUUUUUUACCGCUGUUUUUUUAAAUCCAAAUUUAUUUAAAUUCUUCAAAUUAUUACUUAAUCCUUCCUAAGUUUUUAUAUGAUUUCUUAUGUUAUGUUAAAAUUGUUAUAAGAUCCAAUAAAAUAAUAUCAUAAUAUUUUAUAUAAAUAAGUUAUCACAAAAGGGGUGAGGUUAGAUUUAAAUUUGAUCUCAAAUUCCUAAUUAAAUAUUGAUUAAGUCUUAGCUCAAUUGGUAUAAAUAUUAUUAUCAAUGUAAGAAGACGAAGGUUUAAAUAUGCUAAAACGUAUUAUUAUUUUAUUUAUGGAUUGAGAAUGGCUAUGAGUAAUUUUAGACAUUCUAUUAAAAAAUAUAUAUAUCAUUAGAAUCUCAACUAUUUUUAUAUACAAUCAAUUUAAAUUAAUGAAAAUUUUAAACAAAAACAAAGGUGGUUCUUUGCACUUAGGAAGGGACGUUUGAAAAACAAGUUUAUAUAAUGUAAGAGGUGAAAACCGCUAACCGCCGCCGUAUUAAAAGAAGGCAAACAAGGCGGCCUGUUUUUCUAAGAAUAAUCUUUAUUAAACCACCGUAACCAGGGAGCAAAAAGAACUGUCACGAGCCGCUGCCAUCUAUCAAUUAAGAAACAUUGGGCCACUUUCACCUGUAUUUUAUUUGGAUAUUGUGGUGUGCCAUAGUAUACCAUUUAAUUUAAUAUUAUCUUAAAAAAAAUUUAAUUUAAUGUUAUAUUUAAAUGUUUUAUUGAAUCAUUAAUCGAAUGGAUUUCGGUUCAUUGUGAAAACACUGAAAAAAUUAUUAUUUGUACAAGUAAAAAAUAUUAGUUUGAAGACAUUUUUAUUUUUAUUUAUACAAAAUCUAAAAAAAAUGCAUACACAAAAUCAUAUUUGAACUUAAAAUAUUAUGGUCAUUAAUAUCUUAACUUUAGUAUUUCAAGUAAAGCUUAACUUGACUGUUUAUAGUAAAAGACACUUAUUCCCUUAGGUUUGAUGUAAAUACACUUACCCCUAUAGUUUUAAGAAUGCAAACAUACUCAAUUGGCAAAGGCAGAGGUCCUGGUCUGAAACUUGCUAUGCUCAAUUAUAUGUGUAGGUCUCUGAGUCCUAUUAUGUAUGAGAGUUUUAGUCUAGUUGGUCUCAAUUAAUUGACUUUAGUCUGGAUUGUAUCAUCUCUUAGUCUACUUAUGCUGUAAUAAUUUGAUUAUACUUAGUGAUUACUCGGACAAUCUUUUAUAAAAGUUUAAUACUUAUAGUUACUUGGAUAUGUAUUUGUGAUUGAAUUGUAUUUGUUACAAUUAAAAAAAAAGCCAAAGUCUAAUUAAUAACUUCGUUUUGUAUUGUUUUUUUUAAAGAAUGCAUCUUUCUCCAAGUUAAGUUUAUAUAAGUUUUUAUAAUUAAAGCAAUGAAUUAUUUUGAACUAUGAACCCAUAUAAGGUUGAAGCUACUUAUGCAAAUAUAAAUGAUUUUCUUGCAUCAUAUCGUAAGUCAUAAUACCAUUUGAAAGAAUGAUACCAAACACAAGCACCAAAGAUAGGUAGUGAACUCUUUAAUUUGAUAUAUUCAAGACUUUGAAAUAUGGUUGAGAAAACACUUAUUGUUCUAAAAAAUUAUUUCUUAUAUUAACAGAUCACCUUAAUACAACAUAAAAAAAAGGUUGGAUCAUACUAACAUGUUGCAUAUUUCAUUACUUUAAUCAUAGGCGGAAUUGAGAUGAUUUAUACUUUGAAGAGUACAUAGAAGAAGGAGAUAUUGAUAAUCUUAAUGGUGUAGAUUCAAAUUCAGAUGAUGAUGAAUAAAAAAAUUAUAUAUUUUGAUAUUAAAAAGAAAACAAUGUAUUUUUUAAUGUUUGAUCGAAUUUUAAGUUUGAUUUAUGAAAAAUAAUUAUUAAUAAAUCUCUCAUAAAUUUUAAUCUAAUUAAAUUUUUAGACCAUAUUUGCUUAGUAAAAUGAUAAAAUUUAAAUUAUUUCUAAGUAUAAUAUAGGGCCAAUUUACCAAUAAAAGCUUCAUUUUUUUUAUAAAUUUACCGAAAUGGGCCCGGUAUUUUAUUAUUUAUCGGAAUGGGCCAUUUUCCAGCAAAUCGCAUUCACGUCAGCGCGAUGUCAGGGGACGUGCCAGGAAAUCGCGACCACAUCAGCGCGCUUUGCUGACGUGGCCGCGAUUUUAUAAAAAAAUAUAAAAAAAUUAAGCUUUUGUUGGUAAAUUGGCCAGUACAAAUAACAAAAACAAUAGCAAAAAUAACAACAAAAACAGCAGAAAAACAACAGCACCAAAACACUAGAAACAACAAGAUAAUUUUUAUUAAAAAAUAAUUAAUUUAUUUGGGUCGGGCCCUAGCCAAAAACUUUUACCCGAGGCUCGAUCCGUUUAGAAAACGGGCCUCAUUUUUUAUUCAAACACAUUUUUCGAAUUUAUAUUUUUAUUCAAAUCCUAUUAUUUUUUGGGCGGACCUUCGACCCAAGCUAAACAACCCGAGCCAUGAUCAGGUCAAUAAUUGGAAGUUCUUUCAAUUUGUACUUUUUUGUUGAUCUUUUUACCUAUUGUUUGAAUGCUUUUCUUUUUCUUUUUUCUUUUCCUUAAAAAGAAUUCUUUUCUGCUAUUAAUCAUCACCAAUAGAAAAUUUUUAUAAUAUGUUUUUAAUCAUUAAUGUCAUUAUAAUUAAAAUUUAUUUCAUUAUUUUUAUUAAUUGCUAAUUUUGUAAUUCUUAUUUUUAAAUCACUAUGAAUAAUUGUGAAAGAACUUUUUGACCUUUUAAAAUUUUGACUCUAAUUUUUUUUAAAAUUUUCUCUCAUUUUUUUUAACUUUAUCGUCAAUAUGCUUUAGUCUUCCUUUCCACAUUCUUUUGAAAUAUCUUAUUUAAUUAUUUGCAAUGCUUCCUCUCAACACCAAAAUUGAGAGGAAAUUUGAGAGAGGAUUAGUUUGUGAAAAAAAAAAAGGUGGGGGUAUUUAUAGUUUUUUUUUGGGACCGUUGGGGGGGGAAUUGCGGCCACGUCAGCGUGAUUUGCUGACGUGGCAACAAAUCGCCCCCUCGUAGACACGAUUUGUUGCCACGUCAGCAAAUCGUGCUGACGUGGCCGCAAUUUCGUGGCACAUCCCCUGACAUCGCGCUGAUGUGGACGCGAUUUGCCGGAAAAGGCCCAUUCCAGUGAAUAAUAAAAUACCGAACCUAUUUCGGUAAUUUUAAAAAAAUUAAACUUUUUUUUGGUAAAUUGCCCAUAAUAUAGAGUAAUAAUAACAUAUCUUUUUAUUAUUUGAAUUUGUGUGUGGUGUAGACCAGGCCUAGGGGUGUGUGUUGGCCAGUUGGGUUAGACAUCGAGUCGCCACGCGAACCUCACAGUGGAAACUUUGAAGCUCUGUUGCUUUCAUCACCUUUUACGUCAUAUUUUUAAUUGUUGAUGAUUGAAUACUAAUUUUAAACUUAUCAUCACAUUUUAAAGAAUAAUAACUUGAGAGAAUGUCCUAAUUAAAAUUCCAACUAAAUUUUUUUAUAUAAUUACAUCAAAUUAAAUUUAAUUGGCAUCAUUAAAAGGAAAAUGGGGCGACACACAACCGACAGAUAAUCAUGGAUUAAUAAUGUCUGAAAAUUGCUGAAAUUGUACAUGUAGCACGUGCAGCUAUACCUUGACACGUGCUACUACCAUAUGAAAUUCCUCCAUUUAAUUAAUUUCCAAUUUAUCUCCCUCUCUCUAACUGGCCUUCUGAUUUAUGCCUUAUCUCUCUCUCUCUCUGUUUCGCCGGCUGCUCUGAAAGUUCCUUAUCUCGUCCCAACAAAUUAUUUUCUUCCAUUAAAUUCAACCCAAAUUCAAGGUAAAUUAAAAUUUACUUUCUUUUAUAUCAACGAUUUUCCUUUUUGGUUUUUCAAUUUCGAUUGCUUAAUCUUUUUUAUUUAUUUAUAAUCUCGUCCAGUUUCGAAGUAGUUCAAUUUUCCCCGCUUGUAAGUAACUGUGUUAUGGAUCUGUUAAUAUCUGGCUCUGUUUGGCUUCCGAGAAACUUAAAAGCUUACCGGAAAUUUUCUAAGAAAUGAAACUUUGUUUUGAACGAGUUCAAUCCAAUACGCUUCUCUUUCUUGAGCUGAAAGUAAAAAAAAAAGGUUAUUUAUUUUUAAAAUAAAAAUAAGCCAAUCUCGAGCUAUGUUAUACCCAGCUGAAUUUAUUUAUACUGCUGUGUUCUUUUCUCUCUAGAUAGUUCAGAUUGUUCAUUUCUCGACCAGUCAUAGAAAAGAUCGGCAGGUUUUAGCUUAAUAAGAAGCUAGUUUUGUUUUUCAAUCUUUUGAUAUUUGCUUGUCUCAGAAAUAGUUUCAGCUUUCUUAUUGAACUUCAAUUUUCUAAUUCUUGGAACAGGAUGAUGGAGCGCCUGCCUGGUCUGUAGUGAAUUAUCAUUUUUUAGUACCGAUUGGCCAGAUUUGGGGUUGAAUCGAAUCUCUUUGGAUAAAAAUGGAUCGCUGUGACACUUCUGGAUUUGUUAGUGGGGGUGGGAGUUACUCACUCAACGACUUCUAACCGUAGUAUUUUUGUGGCUAAUUGUCUUCACCCGGAAGUCAGGUUGACUGCUCUAUUGGAAUUGAGAUUUGGUCUGCAUAUCAUUGUUUGAUUUCAGCUGUUCCUAGAUGGAUUCCAGGUUCUCAAACGUGGGGUUCCCUGCUAAUUAUUCUUUGAAUGCAUUCAAGAUUUUGGGUAAUUCAAUGCAAGUUGGAGGAACUGGGGGUGCGUAUAACAUGGAUACUGUUCUACGUCUUGAUUCUGCUGGCUCUUCAGUCCCUUACAUGUCUGCAUCAAAGGGAAUCAAGAGGAAGUGGAGUUCGAUGGAUAGAUCCAUCCGUGGGCAAACUGGGUCGUUAUUGGCUCUUGGGCUAGGCCGCUCCUCUAGUUCCUCAGACAGCAAGGGGAGUUCAACAACUGCUUGUACUACUACAUCUUCAGCCAACGAAGCUGAUGAAGAGUCCUCAAUGGAUAUUGAAUUGGAUUUUAUCCUCCAUCUUGGCAACGAAAAAGUAAUCAACCCCAAGAAAUCUGCUAGUUCAAGUCCAAAAGGACUGGAUUUGCAGCGAAAUGUGGACCUGGAAUUAAGUCUUUCAUCUGGGCUUUCUGAAUCUGAUAUCACUAGUGUCCAUCUUAGCUCUUCUCCCAGUCAGUCAGUUAUGAAGAUGCCAACAGCAGUUGAAGGCUCCCCAAAUGAAGAUGAAAGAUCUACAUCUUGUCACUGGAAACCUGGAAUUGGUUUGCCUUCAUUCCAGAGUUUACCAGCAAAAGAGGCUAGUGUCUUCUGCAAGGAGGUUCCAAGAGGCAUUGAUCUUUCUCCUAUUGUUCCAGAGCUAUCUUCAAGCGUGGUUACUACACCGAAAAGCUCGGUCACCUGCACUUCCGGGAUGACACGGCAACAACAGCCACAACACCGCAGCUCUAGUUCAAAGACAUGUCAGGUUGAAGGAUGUGUAAGGGGGGCCAGAGGUGCUUCUGGCCGUUGCAUAUCUCAUGGUGGUGGCAGGAGAUGUCAAAAGCCUGGCUGCCAUAAGGGAGCAGAGGGCCGGACUGUGUAUUGCAAGGCCCAUGGUGGUGGUCGGCGAUGUGAAUUUCUUGGUUGCACAAAAAGUGCAGAAGGCCGUACUGAUUUCUGCAUUGCCCAUGGUGGUGGUCGGAGAUGUGGCCAUGAUGGAUGCACUCGAGCUGCCAGAGGCAAAUCAGGACUAUGUAUACGUCAUGGUGGUGGGAAGAGAUGUCAAAUGGAAAACUGCAGUAGGAGUGCUGAAGGCUUCUCAGGACUCUGCAUCUCACAUGGAGGCGGGCGGAGAUGCCAAUUUAUAGGAUGCACAAAGGGGGCACAGGGGACCACCAUGUUCUGCAAGGCACAUGGUGGUGGAAAAAGGUGCACGUAUCCGAGAUGUACAAAGGGUGCUGAAGGGAGUACUCCUUUCUGUAAGGGCCAUGGAGGGGGAAAAAGAUGUGCAUUUCAAGGUGGUGGUGUUUGUACAAAGAGUGUGCAUGGAGGAACCAACUUUUGUGUAGCGCAUGGUGGAGGUAAGAGGUGUGUGAUGCCUGAAUGCACAAAGAGUGCAAGGGGACGUACUGACUAUUGUGUUCGCCAUGGUGGAGGCAAAAGAUGCAAGUUUGAAGGGUGUGGCAAAAGUGCACAAGGUAGCACGGAUUUCUGCAAGGCACAUGGUGGAGGAAAGAGGUGCUCCUGGGGCCAUCCUGGGUCAGAAUAUGGGAACCAACCUUCUGGUCCUUGUAACUAUUUUGCAAGGGGAAAGACAGGUCUCUGUGUGCUCCACAGCAGCCUGGUUCAAGAUAAGAGGGUUCAUGGGGGUGCAACGCUUGGGCCUAUUGUUGAAGACCAGAAACUCAGCAAGUCUGGGGAGAUGAAAGAGAUUGUUAAUGCCAUGGAUGCAAAUGUCGACACUAGGAACAUAUGGAGUGACGUAGAAGCUUCUGCAAGCACAAGUUGUUCUAGUUUGAAUCAAUAUGGAGUUCCAAAUGCUUGUAACUCUGUCUCCAAAGGAGGGUUCUCUGUUUCAGCUCCUGAAGGUAGAGUCCAUGGUGGGAGUUUGUUGGCAAUGCUAGCAGGCGGUUCCUGUGUUGGCUCAGCCAACAGUGCAGGUUUUACCGGCAAUCCAGCAGGGCCAAAUAAAUCUAUGAAGCCACCCCAGAACUGGAUGUAGGUUUAUUUCACAAGUAUUAUCAAAUUAUUAUUGGAAAAGUUAGCCAGUAUCCCUGCUUGUUUGCAUCCUUUGGUUGUUAGUUUGUUAGUGUUAGAAACUUUUCGCGGUUCAUUAGUCUAGUUUGUUAUCAUUGGGGGGAUGGGGUAGGCAAUAUAGCUUACAAUGAAUCAGGGUCUUUGUUCAUUCCUGUAAAUGUUUCACAUAUUUCCAGCAUGUUGUUGUGAAUAUACAGAGUAGUGCCUGUAAGAUGAAUCAGUUUGUCCGACAUUAGUGGUUAUAAUAAAGCUUUCUUUGGGAUCAUAUUCAUCAUUUAGCUAUUUUUAAGUUGCCCAUAAUCUCUAAAUCUUCAAGGAUUAUGCAGACCUUGAAAGUGAAAGCAAUGAAAUUCUCUUCUUAAAUCUUUUUUUGUUAAUAUAUUUCAAUUGAACCGACAAAAGUAUAGAUGGUCUGAGAGAUAAGCAUACAAGCAUGUGGGAAGAAAUCACGAGUAAGCUUUGAUUGGAUAUAGUGGACAAAAGGUUUUGUCAAGUAGAAGACGGAGCUCGUGACUGUUCACUGUUUAGAUCAGACCAAAUCCACUUGGAUGGUAAUGAUAAUGCAAAAUAUGAAUAUCUGUAAAUAUUCCAAUUUUUUUCCACCAAUUCGAGCAUUGUAAAUUAAGAUAAUAUUGGGAGUUGCAUGUUAUAAUUGUUAUUCGUAGUUGAUUUGGAAUGGGAGUGGAUGUUAAUCGUUUGAUGUCUAUAUUGAUUGUAUCCAAAUUUGUUUUAGGAUAAUAGAUUCAAAUUCUAAUUUCUAAAUUUAUUUUUUUGGGUUUUAUGUAAAUACAGAAAUUUUAAAAUUGAACUUUUUUAGUAAAAUACAGAGAUUUGUUAAAUAACUAUGCUUUAUCAAACCUAGAUAUUAUGUUAAUGCAAAUUCAUUUUUUAAAUUACAAUUAUAAUUAAUACUAAAACUUUAUAUACGUGUGGAAAUUAUGUAUUUAAAAUACAUACGCAUGUUCAAAAAUAAUAAAAUAAAUCUAUAAGUGAGCAUAUAAAAAACAUCACAAUAAAAUUUUGGUUGACUGAUAAAUUAAAAUUUUACUAAUACAAUUAACAUAAAUAUGCAUAUUUUUUUUAAUUUUUUAAAAUAAAAAAAUUAAAAUAUCCUUAAAUAAUUAAAAACAAUAUUUUCGUAAUUUCUGUUUCGAUAAAGGAAGCAUCAAGCACUAGCACGCCAUUAGCAUGGUUAUAAUUUAUUAGACUUGCAACGUAAUCUGGCGCCAAGGAGUCCCUUCAAAAAUUGAAAAUAUUAUAUAACUUCUUUCAACUGUCAAACCAUACCCAUAUAAACCGUCACAAAUGAUGUAUGCUAACCAAAUUUGUAAUUUCCACAUCAAGCUUGUCUUCUGUUUUCUCCUCCGUAAAUAGCGGGAACUGAGUGGCUCUCCUACGCUUCCUCCGCCGACAUCCUCCGUGUACAUCAGCCGCUUUUUCUUCCCCUUUUCCGGUGACCCUUCUCCCUCAUCUGUCAAUACAUCCACUUCUUUCGCUUCAUUUUAAUUUUGGCAAUCAACGAAAUUACCAUUCAAUUAUUAGAAACCCCAAAAACAGGGCAUACCUAUUACCUACUAGGCGUGAAAUAACGUUGGAGAUCCAAGGAUUUUCUUCUUCUUUUUCAACAAUUUUUUUGUUUGCGAAACAAAAAAAAUUUCUGGAGAACAAUCAAAAUAAUUUUCUACAUCGGGUUUUAAAAGAAAAAUCUCAAGGCAAAGCAAUGGAUCAAAAGCAUGUACUGUUAUCGGCAUUGGGUGUAGGGGUAGGGGUAGGGAUGGGGCUGGGAUUGGUUUCGGGUCAGAGCAGAUUGACCGGAAGCGGUUCGGUUGCAUCAACCGGCCUCACUUUGGAGAAUAUGGAGAAAGAAUUGAUCCGCCAAAUCGUUGAUGGCAGAGAAAGUCAAGUCAGAUUUGAUGAGUUCCCAUAUUACCUCAGGUAAACUCUCCAAUUUUCUCAUAAUCCCUUAUCCUACAUCGCUUUUCAAUAUUUGAAAACGUUUGUUCAUAGUUUAUGAUAAGGCUGAUACAGGUAUGUUUAAUGUUUUAAAAAUUUUCAUGAGUCUUGAAGGGUAAUAAUUUCGUAUUCAUAUUCAAAUAUACAUCAAUGUCAAUCGUUGAUGGUGUUGUUUUGCAGUGAGCAGACACGGACGUUGUUGACCAGUGCUGCCUAUGUCCACCUGAAACAUGCCGAUGUUUCCAAGUACACAAGGAACCUUUCCCCUGCUAGUAAAGCCUUAUUGCUGUCGGGGCCUUCGGGUUCGUUAUCCCCAAUAUUUUUCUUUUUCUCUCCUACUAUGCUUCAUGCAUCUGUUUCUGCAAAUGUUGUAAUUUGCACUGUUUCUUGUUACUGAAGAACUUUACCAACAAAUGCUUGCCAAAGCUUUAGCUCAUUACUUCGAAUCAAAGUUGCUGCUGUUGGAUGUAACUGACUUUUCCUUAAGAGUGAGUAGUCUUUCACAUUUUCUUAUUUCCCCCAUUGAGCACUCGUGUUUGACAUCUAUGUCUGACAUAGAUACGGAGAUAUCACACUCUAAAAGCUCUUCAUAGACAUACCUGUACCUAACAUUUAUAUCCGAGUCUGAGUAACAUAGCCUAGCGGUGUUUUUAAGCUUUUCAUUUGACAGUUAAAACUGGUUACCUAUGUGCAGAUUCACCAUAAAUAUGGAACUCCCAAAGAAUCUGUAAGUCUUUUUUUUUUUUCUCUUUUUAUGGUAAAAUUUUCUCCUGUGGAACAUGGAAAUGGAUCAAUCCUGCUUUGGAUUUUUCUCUAAUCUUUGAUUCUGUCGUGCAGUGUUUCAAAAGAUCCCCUUCGGAAUCAGCACUAGAGCGGUUGUCUGGUCUGUUCAGUUCUUUUUCACUCCUUCCACAAGAGGAACCUAAGGGUAAUUCAGUGGAAAAUUACAUUUUUCUUAAAUAUCCAUGUAUGCUAUUCGUAUUGACAUGGCUAUGAGGAUACGACACUUCAAGGAUCUUCUGAGAAAACUCAAAAAAGAAAAAGUUAAACAAUACCCGAUCCCUCGUUGACUAUCAACAAUAUGUUGUAUUGCAGGUAGAUUGAAGCGGCAAAGCAGUAGUGUGGAUAUUGCAUCAAGGUACUGAGACAAACAUUUCUGAUUGAUUCCGUGAGAAAUGUGUAGCCAAGAGUUUAAUCUUCUGUUUUUCGAUAUUUAUGGUUCUUGCAACAACAGAGGAAAUGAAGGCCCUCCAAAGCUCCGUAGAAAUGCCUCUGUAUCGGAUAAUAUGAAUGGCCUUGCCUCCAAAUGCUCUCCUGCAAAUCUAGGUUUGUCCUCUCAAGUUUCAUGAAUGAAAGGCUUCAAUUCUCAUUUCACGGUUGCUUUAAUAUUAUUUUAUCUCCCUUGUUUUUAGCUCCUAUGUCGCGGACAAGCAGUUUGUUUUUCGAUGAGAAGUUGCUUUUACAAGCUCUUUACAAGGUGUUGGUUUAUGUGUCGAGAGCCACUCCCAUUGUGCUGUAUCUUAGAGAUGUUGACAAGCUCUUGUUUAGAUCGCAACGGUUCUAUAAUUUCUUCCAACAAAUGUUGAAGAAACUGUCUGGGAAUGUGUUGAUACUUGGGUCACGAGUUGUUGAUCUCAGCAACGACCGAGAGUUGGAAGAAAGGCUAGCUGUGCUUUUCCCUUACAACAUUGAGAUCAGGCCACCAGAAGAAGAACAACAUCUUGUCAACUGGAAAUCUCUACUUGAGAAAGACAUGAACAUGAUCCAAACUCAGGAUAAUAAAAAUCACAUCAUUGAGGUGCUUUCGGCUAACGAUCUCGAUUGCGAUGAUCUUGAUUCUAUCUGCAUUGCAGACACGUUGGCACUCAGUAGAUACAUUGAGGAAGUUGUGGUGUCUGCCAUUUCUUAUCAUUUGAUGAACAACAAGGAUCCCGAAUACAGAAAUGGAAAACUCGUCAUAUCAUCGAAAAGGUCAAAUCCGUUUCUCUCCCACAGUUAAUGUUAGCGUUUAGCAUUAAGUUUUCUGAUUUGGGUCACAUUGAUGCAGUUUGGCAUAUGGAUUGAGCAUAUUCCAGGGGAAGUCCAUCGGCAAUUACAGGUUAAAACUGGAGGCACCAACUGAAACAUUAAAGGUUUUAUAAUCUUAGCUAAGUUGUUUUAUAACAUUAAACAAAAGGAAUUAAAUGGUACAUUACAAAGCUUAUGUCCCUAUCAUGUACAAUGAGUAUUUGUAGGAAGCUGGAACACUUUCUGUAGGUAUUAAACCAGAAUCAAAAUCUGGGAUCCGAACCGGAACUGGAACCACAAAUCCUGAAAAGACUGACAGUGAAAAUUCUGCUUCAGUCAUCAAAGUUCCUGUGAGUUAUCGUCUUGUUUUUUGUAGUAACCAGUUCCUUCAAUAUUCGGUUUUGUCAUGCUCCAUAUUGAUCCGCAGGAAGUUGUUCCAGACAACGAAUUCGAAAAGAGAAUAAGACACGAGGUCAUACCAGCAAACGAGAUCAAUGUUACAUUUGCUGACAUUGGUGCCUUAGAUGAGACGAAAGAAUGCCUGCAAGAGCUAGUGAUGCUUCCCUUGAAAAGGCCAGACCUUUUCAAAGGUGGCCUUCUAAAGCCUUGCAGGGGAAUAUUGUUGUUCGGUCCACCUGGCACUGGGAAGACAAUGCUAGCCAAAGCCAUUGCCAGGGAAGCUGGAGCUAGCUUCAUUAAUGUGUCAAUGUCGACCAUUGCUUCUAAAUGGUUCGGGGAAGACGAGAAGAACGUCCGAGCUUUGUUCACAUUGGCAGCCAAGGUCUCUCCGACAAUUAUAUUUGUUGAUGAGGUCGACAGCAUGCUCGGCCAAAGGACUCGAGUUGGAGAGCACGAAGCUAUGCGGAAGAUAAAAAACGAGUUUAUGACUCACUGGGAUGGACUCUUGACAAAACCAGUUGAACGUAUCCUUGUCCUUGCUGCAACCAACAGGCCAUUCGACCUUGAUGAAGCUAUCAUUAGGCGUUUUGAGCGUAGGUAAGUACGUUCACCCAUAAUAUUAAGUACCAGAACUAUUGAUAUCAUGUUAAACAUACAUCGUCACUUGUUUUUGCAGAAUCAUGGUGGGGCUUCCAGGUGUAGAGAACAGGGAAAAGAUUUUUAGAACUCUUCUGGCAAAGGAAAAAGUAGAAGAAAAUCUAAAUUAUGCCGAGCUUGCAGCCAUGACUGAAGGAUAUACUGGAAGUGACCUUAAGGUUUGCAUUUUGAUUUAAGAUUUUCUUUUUUAUAUUUUUUAGAUAGAAUUAAUUGAAAUAUAAUCAUUGUAAUUUCCUGUUUACAACCAGAAUUUAUGCACAACAGCCGCUUAUCGUCCAGUUAGAGAGUUAAUACAGCAAGAGAGAUUGAAGGAUAUGGUAAGUUCCUCACUUCAUUUAAGUCCCUCUCAACCGUUUGUUUUGGUUUUAAACAUACAUCACUCAAAAUCAAGAAUGAAUACCAAAUACGGGUGUCAAACAUGAGUACUUCAAGAAAAACAAACAAUUGCAGGAGAGAAAGAAGAAAGAAGCUGAAGGGCAGAACUCAGAUUAUCCCUCGACAAAAAAUGACGAUGUGGAGGAAAGAGUUAUUACCUUAAGGCCAUUAAACAUGGAAGAUUUAAGGCAAGCAAAGAAUCAGGUAACCAAAUUAUUCCAGAUCAAUGUUACAAUUGCCAACAAGUAUUAGAGGAAAUACUCACAUUGUGUUUCCAUUUUCCUGCUGAGCAGGUGGCAGCUAGCUUUUCUUCCGAGGGAGCUGGAAUGAACGAGUUAAAACAAUGGAACGAAUUGUACGGAGAAGGUGGUUCGAGAAAGAAGGAGCAGUUAUCGUACUUCCUAUGAGAGAGAGUUUGAUUCGUUUUUAACAGUUACAAAAAUUAUCUCUACAAUAGUUUCGAGUUAGUGUACACUGUAUAAGUAUAAUCCUUAAGAUAGAGCUUGUUUUACUCUAUUUCUGGGAUUCUCAAGAGCUAUAAGUGCACUUUGACUUGUGCUCUUUUAGCUUUAAAAGUCAUACAAUUACCUCAUUGGGAGUUAGCAACUUAUAAAUACUACUAUAGAAGUUUAAAUGAUCAUCGAGGUAAACCAAUCCAAAAACACGGGUUGAGAUUUCUCCCAAAUUAUAAUGCACUAAUCAACUUGCAGUAUUGUCACAGAGCACGUAGAUUCGGGGAAAGAGUACAACAAAAAUGAUAUUAAAAAAGGAUACCAUAUUCAUCAACAUUGUGAACCCAGUAACUAUGAAGAUAAAGGAUGAAAGGGUUCGAGCUAAUACCGGAUAAAAUUUAACACCGCCUUUAAAAAGGCUACAUCUAGGUCAGUAAACCUAGUCCUUCUUCUUUUCCUUUGAUGGUCCCCUUGGAAUCUUAUUUAAAACAUUUGCAUUGAACACCGCAUACUGUUUCUUAAUCUCAUGCAUUGCUUUCUCUGCAAAUGGAUCCACCUUGUCCUCAUAUUUCUCAUACAGCACAGGGACAGUGUGAAGCAGGACAAAGACUGUUUCGCAAAACCAAUUAAAUAACAUUAAGAAAAGAAACUGUUUCUAAGGGUUUAAAAAACAAAAGCACUUGAAAGCAAUUCCGGUACCUAUGUAAAACAAUGUCACGAAGUUGCACCAACUUCCAACAAUAGACAAGAUCCACAAGCCAGCAAUCACCUGAACAAUCGAAAUGCCAUUCGGAUAUAACUUUAAAAUGCAAAAUAACAUAAUUCGUAACUCUUAUAUCAAUAAAAACUGAUCAACACAUAACAAUUCAAGAAAACAAGUAACAACAUACAUAAAGGAACUUCUUAAGAUCUCUUCCUGAAGCAAUAUCCCGGAAGACGGUAAAAGCCAGGUUAGUCUCAAACCUAAGUGCUUCGGCAAACUCUAUAACUGGAUCCUUAGGUAUAUGAACCUCACGGAUGCAUAGUGGAGACCUAUUCAAAACAAAAGCAACUUACAUUAACACGAGCAAAAAGAAGCCACAAUCCAAAAUAUAAACUCCAAGAGUAGACAUCGACAGCUUACUUGUUGAUGAAAGCAUAGGCAUUUGACCACAAGAAGAGUAUUACGAGAGCAAAUAUCAAUACAUGACAAACUAGAGUGAGAAGGUGGUACUCCAGCAAUUCAAACAAAACCCAUAUCACAGUCGCAACACCGAGCACUCCAGCCGAAAUCUUUUUGUUCCUCCAAAGGAAUGUAUCAGCCGCUAUUGCAUAUACACUCAAUUUCAUUACAAAAGCAUGCAUCAUAAAAGAAAUUACACACAAGAAGUACUAAUUAUAUAAUCAAUUAAAAUGCCAAAUUAUCAUCUUCAAGUAAGGUUAUUGAUAACCAGUACUACAACAUUUUGAAACUUUUAAUAAAUUAAGACAAUCCCAAAAUUUAUUCGCUUCAAUAAAGCAAAAAAGAAAGAAAGUAAUCUUUACUAGAGAUAAUCGCAUCCAUUUAGUUAAAGAUUCAGAGAUUCAAAAUUUUUUAUUUUUCUCAAGCUAAAACAAAUGUUAAGAGAUUAAAAACCAUGAUUAAGCUCAAACAGCACCAAUUAAUCAAUACCAAAAGCACGAUAAACGUUAAUAGGCCGAAUCUACUUCUUCAAUGAACACCAAAAAAUUCAAAGAAAUCGGGAAUUGAACUCGUAUUCAUUACGAAAAUCCAAACUUAAAAGAAAACCCAGGCCUCUAAAAGCUAAAAAAUAGUGUACAAAUUUAAGAAAUGAAGAAAUGGGGUUUUGUUAACAUACAUUUGCCUCCACCAAAAACGUGGUGUACGGACCUUUCUCUCCCGAAGAGACGGAAAACUUUGGCCUUGAUCGACGAUUCUGAUGGCUCAUCGAUGUCGGAAUCAGAGGAAGAAUCAUGGCCGUGGAUCUUCUCAGCUAGCUUCACCAUCAGCGAUUCCUCGUGCUUCUCUUCGUGCUCACCCAUUUUUUUCCCACUCAAAUUCUAGAACCGAUCUACUCGUUUCUAACGCUUUGAAAGUGUGAAGAUCGAGACAAGAAAAUUAAAACUUUUAUAUUUAGAAAAUUGGAGGGAAAACCCGGUAGCCAAAGCUUUGGUUUUUAAAUUUAGGUAAACUAUAUUCAUAGUAAAUUAAAACUCAAUUAUCAGUCUUUUCUCCGUCACUUAUCUAUGAAAUGUGCUAAAAAGGUCACACAAUUUAUAGGGUUUAUCUUUUCGGUCACCAUCCCAGCAUCCCUUGCUAAGCUAACCUGAUAUGAUAGUUUUUUUUUUUUUUUAUUUUCAUAAUAAUAUAUUUACUCUUUUAACAUUAAUUUCGUUAUAAUUUUAAGACAAUUAUGGAUGCAACUGAAAUGGAGAAAUUGAAACCCUAGUGAUAGUAGAAAAAGUUCACUUUACCCAUUUCAUUUGCAUUUGUUUUAAUGACUAUGUAUUUUUAAUAUUUAUUUUAAUAUAAAAAUUAUGUAAAUAACUUUUAAUGAUUAUUAUUUAAAAUAAAUAUGAUUUUUUAAUAUAAAUAUUAUUUAAUAAGUUUUAAUGACUAUGUAACAUAAAUAUAAUUUUGAUAUAUAUAUAUUUAUUAUAUAUUUAAUAUAUUUUAAAAUUAUACUUUUUUUUAUUGAUGAAUGUAAAUAUAAGUUUAAUAAAAUUUAAUUAUCCAUUAUAAUUAAAUACAUAUUUUAAUCUAAUGUCUUUAAUAGUCAUUUUCUAUUUUCAUCUUAUUGCUACAGCUGCAUUUAAAUUCAAACAUUGUUAUAGUAUCCAAUUUCAUCAUUACAGUAACUAAUCUUUACUGUCACCGUUGUUUUUAACCUCACCGGAGGUAAAUGGACUGCUCAUCCAAACUAAGUCUUGUCUUCAAUAUUUAUAUUAGUAGAUCUUGAGACUAAAUUUGCAGGGUUUAAUUAAGAUUUUCAAAACUCUUAAAAGUUUAAUGAAAUUUCCUUUUGUUUUUUAAAAUGGGAUUUAUUUUUAAAAAAAUUUGUGAGAUUUAUGAGAAUUUCCAAAAAUAAAUUAAGAUAAUUUACUUAAAAUUUUCAAAAAUAAAACAAAGUAAAAUGAGAAUUUUAAAAAAUUGGAAGCUUAAUUAAAAAAUUCUAAGAGAAAAAUGAAAAAUUUUCAAAAAUUUUGAGAGGCAAGGCCAUCAUUGGCCACUGUUACCAUUUACCCGCACUUUAUUAAUUUAAUAUUAAUUCUAAAAAAUAAAAAAAAAAUUAUAAAAGUUUCAUUAAUUGAUAAAAGUAAUAAAUUAAAGUUUAACUUGCCAGAAGGUGUAAACCACGGAUUAAUCUACUUAUUGAGGCUCCAUCUCCAUUAAAUUUUGGUUUCAAUUGUAUCUCUUCAAUACAAAUGUAGUUAGCAUGUAUGUUUCCGCCAGCUUCUAACCCAAUAUUUUUCACAAAACUAUAUCAAUUUAUAACUUCAAAUAUAAAAGUUUUCCGUUUUUCUUUAAAAAUGGACACAUUUGCAAAAGUUCAAUACCAUCUAUGAAUAUGUUUAUCUAUCAAUUGCAUUCAAAUUUUGUUUUAGAAGCAGGUUGAGUUUUAGCUCGACUGGUAUGGGUAUUAUCGCCAGCACAGGAGGUCGUAGGUUUGAGUUCACUGAGGCGCAUUAUUCUCCUAUUUAUACGUAAUUAAUCUAGAAAGAAAAAUUGUUUUGUUUUGUUGACAACAUGGUGUGGUCGAGACUUGACUUUUAUGAUGUAACAUCAUUAUCACAACGUGAAGUAACGAUAACCAACUUCAUUAUGGUAGCAAAUUACAUAUCAUCUUACCACAUAUCAAUAUAAUCUCUUUCCUAACAAUAUUUUAAUAUGAUAGCAGCCAGCCCUUUGUUUGUCCUUGAACAGAACCAAAUAUUUUCUCUACCUCCAAAAGAAAACGUUUGGUUCUCAUCUUGGUUGCUAUAGUUUAAUGUAAAUUCUAUUACCUAAUAAAAUCUAAUAUGAGAAGUUGGGUUAACAUUCCUACUCCACCCCACCCAUAUGUAAAUGAAUGGGUUAUCCAUCGUCUUCCGAAUUGGGCUCCAUGAUUUUGGUUUUAUUUGAAGGUAGAAAAGAAACCUAGAAAGGCCAAGGUUGGGCUUCGCCUUAGGCUAACCCCAAUGGAGGAAACAGUUUGAAGUUGUAAUUCCAAGUCAAAUUAGUGAUGAUUGAUGAAUGCCGCACAGUAUUUAAUUCUAUAUAACUUUGGUAUUUUGUUAAUUGGAUUAGUUGGUUACUUCAACAAAGCUCCAAGUAUAAAAAUAUCACCCUCCCUGCCUGCAUCAUCAUACGUCUAUCACUCUGCUCAAUCCAGUCAAUAUCUACUACAUUAAUCCUUCAAAUUUCUAUUAGAGAGUCGGUCUUUGUUGAAUUAUACCUUAUUCUUGUAUUCCAGUAUAUCUCAAAUGUUAAAAUUCGGUAUAAAUAUUUAAAAUCCGAACCAAGUAAAUAUGUUGCAAUAAGCUCUACAUAACAUUGAUCAAAAUUUAUUCACUCUCUAUACAGCAUCUCCUUACUUUUCAUUCAGCUGUUGUGUUGCAUCCUUUAUAAGUCCAGCAAAUUUAGCUGAUAAUACACGAAUUCGGAUUUUCUUCCGCACUUACGACUCGAUAAUAUGUAGUCAUGUGAGGAUUAUAGGCCUUGUAAGCCUUAACAAGCUCAGCAAUCUGAUCACUUUCUUUCUUUUUAUCAUCCUCCUUCUUGCCACCGCCGCCGCCGCCACCACCGCCGCCACCUUCAUCUUUCUUGGCUCCUCCAUCUUUUUUCUCUUCUUUCGCCGGUCCAACCGUUAAAAUCUCGGUAUGCCAUUGUUUUCUCAACUUGUUCACUAUGUUAAUCGGGUCAACGUCGCCGAUCACUGUCAACUUCUUGUCUUUCAUAUCCAUCGAAAUAGAAUCAACACCUACAAAAAUUAGAGAGAAUUGAAGAAGACAAGUUCCUGAUAAUAAACCAUUAACAUUAGAGAACAAAAAGAGAUGUUUUAAGCAAGUACCGGAGAGACCGGAAACAGCUUUCAUGGCUUUCUGUUUCUCUUUGCCUUCAUGUAAAUCCAAUUUCAAGACAACUUUCUGUAAGAAGAAAACAGAAAGUGAAACCAAAUCAGAGUCAGAGAGAAACCCAUGAAAGAUUCAAUAUCUUUGGUAAGAAAAAGUGGGAGGAAAAAUAGAUUAAAGGGGAAGGAAACUAGACCUUCAUUGGUGCUGAAACAGGAAGCAGUGACCAAACAAAACAAUGAUUGAGACGAUCACGAAAACCAUCAAAUUAUAAGACAACAUAUAAAUAGACGAGGAGCGGGUAAAAUCCGUGUUAAUGGUAAGGUUUAAUUUCGUCCUCUGUCCCUGUAUUCUUUGAAAUUUUAAAGUUUAGUCCCUUUUUAAGAAUUAAAGUCUCAAUUGAUAUAUUGUUAAUUAAAAUUUAUUAAAUUAGAGUAUACUUCUAUAGUGUUUAUAUAUUGUCAAUAAAUAAUAUUAAGAAUUGCUAUAUUUGUUUUUAGAAGGAUUCAACUUCAAAAGCUUGUAUUAUUUGUGCUUCUACUUAUAUAAUUAUAGUUGAUUAUUUACCAAGUCUUUGGCUUUGAGUGUUCAUGUUUUACUUUAUUUAAAUAUAUAUUUGACUUAAAUUUUACUAUAUACAAAUUAUUUUCAGAAUUAUUCUGAUUCAAGGUAAAUUAUAUAUAUAAUAAUAUGAAUGUACAAACUUUGUAAUUGUCAAUCUAAUUGAUUACCAAUCAAGUAGAAAAGGAGAUGUUAUGUGAAUUUUAUAAUAGCAUUGUUUUUUAUUUAGGUUUCUUUUAGUAGUGUAUUACUCGAAAUUUAUACAUAAGACUUAUAUUAUUUUAUAAAUUAGUAAUUUUAUAUUUUUAAAUUGAUUUUUUAAAAAUUUUAUUCACGCUAUUUAGCUAAUGAAUGCAAACAUACUUGCAAUACUAUUAGUAAAUUUUUUAAUCAUAUGAGAUAAAAAUAAAAAAAAAAUUAUCUAAGGUUAUUGGAAGAAAAAAGAAUAAUCGGAUAUUAAUGUUCUAAAAGAAUUUGAUGAAUCAUUAUAAGUUAUAAUUUUCAAUAUCAAAAUCAGAUUCUUGUUUAUAUUUGGCCAUGAAUAAAUAUAAAAAUACUAUUUAGUAUUUGCUUAUAAAAUAAUCGAGUGACUGACAUAGUUAUCGAAAAACAAAAUAAUGGUUUUAUAUAUUUUCAAAUAAAACUUUUUGUUUUUAAUAUUUAUUUGUCUUCAGUCCAGUUCCAAAUCAACAUUUUGUAAAUUUCUAUUGAUUUUAUCUUAAUAUAACUUUAAAUAAAGUGAAUAAGAUUUUAAAAACAUCAAUUUAAAAAUAUAAAAAUACUAAUUUAUAGAAUAAUGUAAACCUUAUAUAUAAUUUCGAGUAAUACACUACUAAAAGAAACCUAAAUAGAAAAUAAUGCUAUUAUAAAAUACAUAACAUUUCCUUAUCUACUUGAUUGGUAAUCAACGUGACUAGCACAAUUCUAAUUUAGACCACACUUGAAACGUUGAACACCUUAACCAUCAAACCAACGCAUGGGUUGAAUCUCUUCUUUAAUUCUAUUAGGAUCUCUAUCCUCAACUUGAUUUAUUUCUUAUCAACUAAAUCAGCUUUCUCUAACACUGGAUCAUUAUCCUCUAUUCUUAUAAUAUUAGGAAGUAUAAAACAAGCAUUAAUUAUCCUUAUUUGGGUUUUUAUAUAUAAAAACAGGGUUCUUAAUAUAGCCCAUCGUUUCUUUACUAAUCUACAUGUUGGAGAUCGAUCCGGUUAAGCAACAAACAAGUAAAAAAAAGCGGAAUAAAUUAAGAAAUUGAACACACAAAUUUAACAUGGAAAAACUCCUCCAAAGAUAAUAAAAAAUCACGGGCAAAGAUAAUUUUACUAUAAUGGCAAAAAAGAACGAAAAGUACAAAAGAUGGAGAUAAAAACUAAAGCCAAAAAUCUAAAAACAAAGAACUCUCAAAACGUAAAUACAAAAUUCUCUAAAAGUGUUAUGAGUUCUAAGGUUGUAAAAGAGCCUAUUUAUAGGCUAAAUUCAUAGGUUAAAUAAUAAUAAAAUAAUCUAGACUAAUCAGAGUUUGAUUUAAACAAAUAAACAGAGUUUAACUGGAAAAUUGUUUCUCAAAUUUGACUGAAAUAGGAGUCAUACUUAACACCAAAUGAUCUACCCCAUUAAUUUAAAUGAUACCUAAUCCUUCGAUAAGGUGCUGAAAUCCUAGGUCAAGAAAGUAUUUAUUUAUAUUAUAAGACGAUAAAAAAAUUAAUUAAUGAAAUUUCAUUAAUUUAGUAAUGAUUCAUAUACCACUUAUUUAAACAAAACUAUUAUCAUUUGGAAUAUAAAGACAAUUACAUCUAUAUCUUGUAAAACUUUAAGAGUCAUCAUAUGAUCCUUCCCAUCCAAGUAAUACAUAUAUGAAAUUUUAUAUUUGAAGCACAAACUGUUAAUGCGUCUGUCGAGAUAUCACCUUUCUAAUUUCGAUAUCUAAGUCUAUAUUUGACAUUCACAGUUACUAGAAAUGAGUUCCAUUAGUAUAACUCUAGUAAAUAUAUAUAUAUGUUAUUAAAUUUUAUAAUUUAACAAUUUUUUUUGUGAAAAUGACUGAUAUUAAUAUUAACAGGCUUAAAAGGAGUAGCUAAAAGGCCACCAAAACAGACAAAAAAGAAAAUCACAACUGUCCAAUAUAAAAGAAAAUUAAAAACUACGCCUAGAAAGUAACGAAACAUCAAUAAGCAAAAAAUGCGUGAGCCUGCAACAAAACUUUUCAAUCUCCAUUAUCAGCCACAGCAGGGCUCCAUUUCCUUCGUAUUAUCGAUCAGAGACCCAGAGCCAGCAACGCUUUGCAAACAAUAUUAGAGAUUCAAUGAACCUUCUCUAACUCAAAGCGAACAUAUGGAACUUAGGUCCGUUGGCACCAUCGUAACCAGUCUUCCUCCACCACCAGUCGCACAGUCUCCGGUAUUCCAUUAACCCAGGCCCCACACACUUUCCGAUGUCGACUUUCCACUGCCAAAAUAUGGGCUACAGCGUUAAGCGGACGGUUCACAAACUUGUAAGAGACUUCAUCAAAGCCCUGGCGCAAUCUAUGAAUAUUAUGAACAAUCGACCUAAUAAUCGAUCUAUCUUCCUCAUUUUUAAUCAGUUUUUUAAUGACUGUCAGGGAGUCCCCUUCCACAAUCAACCGUUGAAAGCCCUUCAAUUUUGCGAGGAUCAGCGCUCUUUCACAAGCUCGUGCUUCCGCCACGAAUGCGUCAUCCACACCUUCCACCAGAUAAGUAACUGCUUCUAUAACUUCCCCUCUGUGAUUUCUGGCUAAGAUUGCUAUUGUCGCAAAAUUAUUUCCUGAAAUAUACGACGCAUCAAAAUUAAUUUUAAUAAAACCAUAGUCAGGAGGCCUCCAGACUUCAUUUCUCAUAAGAGCAGUAGAAUCACAUAGAUUCUCACGAACAAGCCAUGGAUCUCGCUCAUAGCCCCUGAUAAAUCCCAAUAGUUGUGGCAUAGAAAGCUUAAUCCCCUCAUGAACCAACUUAUUUCUAUGAAACCAGAAACACCAAAGAGUUAAAGCAAUAAACCUUUUUUUCGACCUUCUGCUUCAAGAUAUGUUUUAACAAAAUUAGCCUUAUAAUCCAGGGAAUCGUCCAAAGGGGGAAUUUGAACUUGCAACGAUGUCCAUAUAUUUCGAAGGACCCUACAAGACCCCAACAAAUGCGCUGUGGUUUCUAGAUCUUCCUUACACAGUGGGCAUACAGCCUCCUCACAUAGUGUUCGGCGUGCCAAGUUCCCAUAGUGUGGCACCAUGUUAUUGAACAAUCUCCAAACAUGUAUUUUUAUUUUCUCUGGAAUAUGCAAAGCCCAGAUAUCCAUGUAAAAACUUUUGUAUUAUUCAUUUGUAGAGGACAUGUGUAGAUUGCUCUGUAAAUAAUCUGUAAUAAGAACUCGAUACCCACUCCUGACAGUAUACUCACCUGAGCCUUCAUACUUCCAUACCAACAUAUUCUCUGGUCGGCUUUCAGAGAUGGGAAUGUCAAAGAUUCGAUUAGCAGUGUUAUCAUCCACUAGAUUGUGAAUCAACUCUCUAUUCCAGGUACUGUCUUCUUCAUUCAUUAACUAAUUCACUGUUGACCAAGGAGGCUUAAUUUCAAUAACUGGGAUUCUGUUAUUCUCUCUUCCAGGCAGCCAGGGGUCAUUCCAAAUGUUGAUACUUGCACCAUUUCCUACACGCCACAAGAUUCCAUCACUGAUCAGGUCCCGCGCACUACAAAUACUUCUCCAAGUAAAUGAAGGGUAAGAACCAACCUUUGCUGUUAGUAUAGUGGAAAGAGGGAAAUAACGGGCUUUUAAAACCUUGGCUAAUAAACAAUGGGGCUAGGUUAAAAUACGCCACACCUGCUUCGUUAAAAGGGCCUUAUUAAACAAGAAUAAAUUUUUAAACCCCAGCUCUCUAAAACUUUUCGGUUUAUACAGAACAUCCCACGAACUCCAAUGAAUCCCCUUCGAUGUUUUAUUAUUCGUCCACCAGAAUCGAUUCAUUAUUCCUUCCAAUGUUUUACAUAAUGACUUUGGCAAUAAAAAACACUGCAUAGCAUAAAUUGAAGUUGACUGCAAAACUGAUUUAAUGAAAACCUCCUUAUCCCCCAUUGAAAGAUAACGCAUACUCCACCCCUCCACCCAUUUUCUGAAUCGGUCCACAAAGUUAGCAAAAGCCCACUUUUUCCUCCUACCCACCAUCAUAGGCAAACCGAGAUACUUUUCAGGAUUUGAGGCCAGACGUACCCUUAAUAAAUUAACAAUAUCCUUCUGAACACUAGAGACGACAUUUGUAGCGAAAUAAAUGAGGGAUUUUUCAAAAUUCACUCUCUGCCCCGAGACCGUCUCAUAUUCAUGGAUAAUAGCCCGAACCACUUCAGCUCCUUCACAGGAGGCAUCACCAAAAAGAAUGCAAUCAUCUGCAAAAAAUAAGUGGUUGACCGAAAACUUCUCUCUACCUAUAGGUGCCCCCAUCAUCAUCCAUUUAGUUUUAGCUUCCUGAAUGAGCAGCGAAAACCCUUCAGCACAAAUCAAGAAUAAAUAAGGACUAAGAGGGUCUCCUUGUCUGAGUCCUCUCGAUGGUGUGAACCAGUCCCCGCUAGCUCCAUUAAUACUAAUAGAGUACGUGACAGAGCAUACACAACGCAUGACAAGAACGAUCCAAUCCUCAUGAAAACCCAGGUGCUUCAUCAUACCUGCCAAAAAAUCCCAUUCCACACGAUCAUACGAUUUACUCAUAUCUAGUUUAAACGCAAAGUUGUCUUUCUUACCUCUCUUUUUCAUUUUUAGGGAAUGAAGUAUCUCAUAAGCAAUCAGUACAUUAUCAGAUAUAAGCCUACCUGGAAUAAAGGCCUUUUGAGCUUCAUUAAUACAAGACCCCAGUGUUUCGCUCAUCCUCAAUACCAACACUUUUGCUAUAAUUUUGUAAAUGACAUUACAAAGCCUGAUAGGCCUAAAAUGAGUCAUGUUACUCGAUUUUUCAACCUUUGGAAUCAGGAUAAUGCGCGUUUUGUUAAUAACACUCAAAUCCUCUUGUCCCUGUAGAACGGAUAAACAAAAGCGGGUAACCUCAGGCCCAACAAUGUGCCAAUAACGCUGAAAGAAGAGGGCCAGAAACCCAUCCAACCUAGGGGCUUUCAAAGGCGUCAAGGAUUUGACUGCAUAGACAAUGUCCUCCUCCGUAAAUUGUCUUAAGAGCCUUUCAUUCAUACUACUAGUAACUUUUUCCUCUACUAAGCUAAACAAAUGCUCAUCCGAACCUGACUCUGAAGCAGAGAAAAGCUUACCAAAAUAGUCAGAAGCUACCUGGAGGAACUCCUCAGUGGAAUUAGUACUUCUCCCAGCUCCAUCUUCUAGUUCAGAAAUUCUACAACGAAAGUGACGUUGGACAGCUACCUUGUGAAAAAAGCUGGUAUUACGAUCCCCAUUCUUUAGCCAAUUCACCCACGCACGCUGCUCCUAAAAUAAUUCCUCCUUUUCAGCUUCCAACUUAACCCCCAAUUGGACCUCUAUAAUCUCAGCUAGAACUUCAUCUGACGGAUCUUGAGUGUAAAGAUUCAUUAAUCUGUCUUCUAAACGGAACCGAUUCCUCCGCUCCUUAAUACUAUUCAC